RNAcentral lists this long non-coding RNA (66120 nucleotides) under Coffea arabica (coffee). RNAcentral's name for it is "long non-coding RNA (CARA_LNC006070)". The record is from RNAcentral. Lineage: Eukaryota; Viridiplantae; Streptophyta; Magnoliopsida; Gentianales; Rubiaceae.
AUAUAAAAUCUGCCCUCCAUGGCCUUAUAAUGGAGUCAUGCAGGAUUUCCUGUAGUGCAUUGUGGAGCCUUAAGUGAUGUAUGUGCUACUGUUGUAGGUUUGUAUCUAUUUCUUUGUGUAAUGGCAAGUACUCAGAUAUCAUUGUUAAGUAUAGCUUUAUUGUCUCGGAAAUUUUUUGGUGUCAGUGCAUGAACUUAUUAUAGAUUUUGCUGUUUCAUAACUCCCAAGAGGUUCUCCCUUUUACCGAGUUGGUAUCCUUUUAACAGGAUACGUAUUUGUAUCCUGGCAAGAAUAUUAUGCUUACGAGAUAUUAUUGUUAUUCAGCGACUUUUUUUUUUUCCCCUUAAAAGUGUCACAAAAUGGAGAUCUGAUUUCAAGAUAUGAUACUAGGCUUAUCUGGUUGUUUGGUUCUACAGGAGUUCGAUCAAAGAGUUCUGGAAGGUUUUCAAGUUACUCCCCUUUGGCAUCAGGGUUUUAUUCGCGAUGACGGGAGGUAAAUUCUCCUUUUCUUCCAUGUGCUUCAGAGUAUUGAUUACCUAUCAUAUUGCAUAAUUUACUCCUUAAGUGAAGUGAAAGUCAUGUAUAACAUGUUUACUCGCAUUGUGCAUCUUUUGGAGGAAUGUUACGCGUUUAUUAUAUAACAAUUUGCUUUCUCUAAAUUACUGAGCUUUCUUUUUCUUAGUUUAAUCCAAUUGCGCUUUUUUACUUCCACCAAAUUUUACUUAAUUUAUCAUGUUGGAUCAUGGGGUGUGCCAAAUACCUUACUUUACCUUCACUGGUAACCAGUAAACUUGUUGAACAACUACACCUAGAACAUUUUCUCAUCUGAAACCUUUGACAUAGAUGACAGUUUGCGUUUUAUCUGACUUCAAGGAUAAGGUUAAUUUGAUAAUUGUGCUUGUCAGCCAGGAGCCAUAUUUGUUGUCUUUCUAGUUAGGUUGAAGUACUUUCAGGAUAAGAAAUGCAGAUAAAUGCAAGUUGUUUCCUCCCUGCAAAUUCUGGUGUUUUAUAAUAAGGCUUUGUCUUUGCGUCCUUUUAUUUUUGAGCAGGAAUUCUAAGCAUAUGAGCAUAUCAUUUGUUCUUUUCUCUUUUUAGUCCUUGUGAUAAUUUGUUGGGUAAUACUUCUUGUUAAGGAAGAUUUUACGCAGGAUUGCGAGAGCAGGUAAUUUUCUAUUGAAAGUGUCUCAAAAUGAAUUUCAGGAAGAGCAACUGAUGAUUCAGAAGUUAGUAAACCAUACAUGAAUGUUACAAAAAUGUUUAAGUUGCUUAAAUAUGUCCCUACAAAAAUUAGUGCAAUUGAGAUUUUCAUGUCACAGACAAUAGAUGGGAAGAUAAUCUGCAAAACACGUUUUCUGGCAUUUGCUGUUAGCAAGAGAAUAACUAUGGGUCUUUCAGCAAGAGCAUAUUUAGGGGCCUUUUCUGGUUUUACAUGAGAUUUAUCACAUAAAAAUGUUGAACCUGGAUAAUUCUUUGUUGUUUCAGGUGCUAUUUUAAUUUUUACAUGAUACAUUUUCUGUGGUCUCACAAAUUGUUUUGAUGCUCCAAUUUUCCUCUGCUGUUUCAAGUGCUAAACUAAAUGGCUAGAGAAAGCUGAAUUGUGUUGUUAAAUACUAUCUUAAAAGUAUUCUCAUUCUUGAAGUUCAUGCAAACUCAGUCUCUUGCUGGCUUAAUUCAUGACCCAGUAGCUUGGAACAGUUGUUAUAAAAUGGUACUUGAAUGACAAUCACUAUCCGAAAGCUGAUACUUUCUGUGCCAGUAUAUGCAAAAAUAUCCCAUUUUAUUCUUUCAAAGGUGAGAUCAUCAUUUCAUUUUUUGACAUGAUUUAGUGUGACAGGACAAGCUAUGUGGAGACUGUAAAGACUGCACGUUGGGAGUAUAGUACACGCCCCAUUUACGGCUGGGGUAAUGUUGACUCGAAACAAAAGUCUACAGCUGGGUGGCUUGCUGCUUUCCCUGUUUUUGAACCCCAUUGGCAAAUGUGCAUGGCAGGGGGCUUUCGACAGGUUCAGCUACCUUUCUUCUUUUCCAUUUAGGUCUGGUUGACUGAUAAGUUUUAAAUCUGUCCUUGUUGGACUUAAACCCCUAAGAUGAAUAACUUUUUGAGGACAAGAUAAUUGCUUAUUGAAAUUAAUAGAUGGUUGUAUCACAGGUUCCACGAGUAAUGGUUUCUUCUUCAAUGAUAAAUAGGGGAGUAUAGCAAUUGUACACAUCCAAGUGAUUCACUUAUGAAAAUGAUUAGUUACUGUAGAAUGAGGAUUUGUUUUGCUCAAUAAUGCACAUUUUCUUAUUUUGCUACCGUUUUUCUAGCAUGCAAAGUCUUUCUUUUAUUUGCAGUUUUUGCUGCAAUAGGUGCUACAGUCCUUUAAAAGUUUCUAAGCUUUCUUGGAGAUAUGUUGUUGUUGUGUAAGGAGGAAGUUGGUUUGUCAUUUCUUUGUAUCUGCAGUUGUUUCUACCUAACCUUCUCAUGGUGUCUAAUUGUUCGUUAGUUUGCUUUAUAGUUGCUGGCAUCCUGGCCAUAUGCAUGACUGGCUCAUUUCAUGGAAGGCUUUAACUAGACCUCACUCAAAGUUAGAGAUCAAUAUCUUACCUGGAGCAUUAAAUUGGUGUAUGCUCUACCAUAUUGCUUAAUCAUUGUUGUUAGUCAAAAUCUAUCUGAAUUUGCUUGUUCUUAAUUUGUUGGCAUCCAAACUACAUUGAACAGUUCAGUUGUCCUGGAUAAAUGUUCUGUGUAUUGUUUUAAUUCCAUAUUAUUAUGUGCUGUGUAGUUGAUUCUACUUUUUGCUUUUCUUCUACAUUCUACUUGUAGUACAUUUAGAUUGCACGGAUAUAUAAACACGAUUGUUUAUUUUCUGUUCAAGUUCCAUGGUCUUGUUGCAGGUUGGAUAGAGUGGGAUGGAGAAAGGUUUGAGUUUGAAAAUGCUCCUUCAUAUUCCGAGAAGAAUUGGGGUGGUGGCUUCCCCAGAAGGUGGUUUUGGGUAUGUCUUCCCUUUCAAUUCUAUGUCUUAUUAUGUUGAAGCUUGCUUUUGAUUAUGUGAUUUUUAUUUCUCUAUGGAAUUAUUCUGGUUUCGUGGUAGUCAUUUAGAAGAUUGAAUAAUGAAGCUUUCCCUUGAUGAUACUCUUGAAAGUGGUUCCAUAGAUCUAAUUUUUUGUUUUGCUUUCAUCCUCUGUGUGAUUCCAAUUACAACUUUCAAUGUUUCUUUGUGGAUGAUCCUAGAUGUCUAUGUGGUACAAGAUAGCAAGCAUUUUUCCUUUCUCAUGGAAAGGAAAGCAUGUAUCCUUCUGGUUUGUUCGUGAAAAAUUUUGGUGUCUGCAAGCAGAAUGUAUGCUUAUUGACCUAAAACCAGUCCCUUCCAUCUUUCAGAACUACAUUGCCUUUAACUUUAUUCUACUACCUUCAUCAGUUAUCAUAUGGAAUCUCUAUGUAAUUCUAUCACUCUUGGGACUGUUCUGUUUUAUGUUGCAUAUUUGCUUAUGGGCUUGCUUUAUACAGGUCCAGUGCAAUGUCUUUGAAGGUGCAAGUGGAGACAUUGCUCUUACUGCUGCUGGUGGCUUGAGGCAACUUCCUGGAUUGUCUGAUACCUUUGAAAAUGCGGCACUGGUACAUCCAUAUUAGGUUUCAUAGAUGCACAUAGCUCUUUUGUUUUGUUCUUUAUUUUCCUUUCCUUGUGGUGCUCUUUCAUCUAUGAAUUACAGAUAAUAGCUUUUGGAAUCAGCAUUCUGCCCAAUUUGAAUCCAAACAAGCUAGACAUGGAGACCCCUAAACUUUAGCAUGAAAGAGGGAGAUCAAAUAAUGCAUAUCAUGCUAAACUGGUAGCUUAAAAGGAACUUUAUGGUUUAUUAGAAAUUUAAGGUGUGUCGUGGCCUGAUAGCAAGGCAUACUGUUCUAUCAUGUGAGGUACUAGGUUGUUGUAUGGGUGCACAACUGCACACUGCAUUAGGUUUUCCAUGUGUAGACCCUUCAAUUGUGAGGUCAUGCACAUGUUUUAGUUUUUGCCCCUAAUAAAAGUUUUGUUCUUCAAAAUCUUUCUUCCCUAUAUAGACCUUAAGUGCUUUGGCAUGUAGGCACAUUCAAAGAUUAUGGAUGUAUACGUUAUUUAAGUUCAAAGUGAUAAGUGCUUGAUGAUGGAAUUACUUCCAAUGUAGACUUAAUCACUUUUUAUUCAGUCUUAAUAAUUAAUCUUUGGGCAUGGUUUGUACUGUCUUUGUAUGCUGUAUGGGGUUGGGUAGUAUGCACACACCUCUCUGAAGUUACAAAUUUAUCUUCUUGUGCUCUUGUCUGUAUGUAGCUGAUGCUAGAUUGAUAACUAUAGAAGUUUCAACUUACCUCUCAAAGACUCUUAACAUCUUGAAUUUCUUACCAAUGUGGUAAUGUGACAUAGUAUUAAGCAAACAAAAGCUACUGCCUAUCAUUCUAUGUGCAGCUCUUGUGAAGUUUCCACUUCUUGGCAAUAGUAAAAUUAAAUCUUAUGGACGUGUGAGUGGGUCAUUCAACUGUAUACGGAAAUGUUAUUACUAUUUUGUAUCUGCAAGUUUAAUUUCAUAGAGAGCAAUUUUGCGGAAUUUUUUAUGCGGCUUUAUCAAUUUUACACGGUAAUGACCAAAUUGUUAGUCCUCAAAAUUGAGCAUACUUUAUUUUUUUUUAGUAUCUCUGUAUUUGUGUUUAAAUAUCUAGUGAUUUCUUGAUUUUUUGCUGUAAAUUAAGUUAUACUUUACCCAUUCAAGUUAAAGUUGUCUUUCUUUUACUGCAUUCUUGUUGAUUAGUUACUUUGUAGUUGUUCUUAGUUACGUUGAUUUGGCAUCCCCACCCUCUUCCCUAUCUGGGUUGGAUGAGAAACGCACUGUAUUGUCAUAGGGGGAAAUACAACCUUAAUUUAUUUGCUAAACAAGAUCUUUUUUGACGCCUGCCCACCCCCGGGGGGUGGGGGGCACAAGGAGGAGUAAGUCUUAAAUUGAUAGGAAUCCAAGUUUGAGCACUAUGUAAUGGCUUAAAGGUGGUAACUAUAUAAUGGCUUGGGCGUACUUUGCCUGAUUCAAUAAGUUCUCAGUAUUAUGUCCAAUCCAGUAAGAUAUAGGCUUAAAUUUCUUGGUGGAAGUCUAGUUUCUGUAUUUAUAGGGCUUUCCUACUAAUUUGGUGUAUAAUACUUCGUUGCCUUCUGGAAGUUCUGCAUUAGAGAAAAAUGGUGAUACUAGACUUAUUUGCAAAUCCCCGGAGGCUUGUCAAUCAUGACAUCUCUUUUAAACGUGUGAUUUUGAUUGAGGCAUUUUACUUGGACUUGAUUAGGGAUGCAAGAUGCUUGAUUUUCCCUUAUAGGGAUAUUCAACUAGACUUACAAAUUCACGUGAUAAUUAACUAUCACCUGCAUAUUCUUCUUGCCCUCUGGGCAGCAUUUCUUCCUUUUUACUCCAAAUGCCAAGUUCCCAAGUCUCUCUUUUCCAUUGUUUUGUGCUUUGUUUGAGAAUUUCUAAAUGCUACAGCUACAGGCUUACACGAUAAAUUGAUUAUGCAGAUUGGUGUUCACUAUAGAGGAGUAUUCUACGAAUUCGUGCCAUGGAAUGGAGUUGUUAAAUGGGAAGUUUCACAAUGGGGCUAUUGGUUUAUGUCUGCAGAGAAUAAAACACACAAGGUAUCAGUUAUCUACCAAAGAAAAUUAUGUUUCUGACUAGCACUGUAUUGCGACUCAGCAAUAUUGACAAAGCUGGAUGUUGCUUAGCUUUUCAUUUUGAAAUGUACUCGGAUUUUUUGGUCUAACUUGUUUUGUAUGGCUUUAGAAACAUGUAUACUAUAGAAUGCUUUAGUUGCUUCUCAUGGAAGUCAUGUCUAAGCAGGUGGAGUUGGUGGCAACAACAAAAGACCCAGGCACUACUUUGCGUGCUCCAACCUCAGAGGCCGGCUUUGCCCCAGCCUGUAAGGAUACUUGCAGUGCAGAACUAAGACUGGAACUGUGGGAUCGAAGAUCUGAUGGAAGUAAAGGAAAUGUGAGUUUUGUCCUUGUUCACCAUUCUUUUUCUUCAAAAUAACAAUUCAUAGUUGCAGUGAGAUGCCAUUAUCAUAUUAGAGAUUCUGCACAAGUUCAUGUUCCUAUAGCCCAUUUGUCCCACUUUGGGACGGCAGGAAAGUUUAGAUUGAUAUGCAAGUUGAUCAUAAGUGCAAAUGCACAGCUUGGGAUAUGGGCAAGUGAAGAUCAAUGCUGAAUAAGGGGUACUGCAGCCCAGGACAUACCUGUGGCUGAAUUUGUUACAUUAUGGCAUGAGAGAGAAUCUAGUUUUGCCUUUGCAUGAGGAGAGACAGCUACUGUUAGGUUGCUGCAAGGACGUAGCAGGUGUGAAGGCUGCUUGGUCUCUACACAAGGUGAGAAUGAACCUGUGCUAGGUUGUUAGGGUGGGCGAUUUGUGUUUGCAAGAGGUGAGACUUGGUUAGGCCAUGAGGACGACUUUGUGUCUUUGUUAGAGCUGGUGACCCCGAGUCAGGAGAGCGAGAAAGUUUGGAGUGAUUUUCUAUUGUCAGCCUAAGUACCCAUGUAUAGCUUGGAUUCUUGGCAAGUGAUGAUAUAGGCUAGGGUGCAGUUGCUUGACUGCAUCUGCAGGCUUAGGGCAUGACAACAAAUGUCAAAAAAUGUUACUAGAAUUUAGUCAGCCUAUGGUUUCUAAUUUGAUUAUCUUUUAGUCCUCUUCCUUUUCUUGAAAUACGGAAAGUUGGACUAGUCAUUCGUGAAUUUCCUGGAGGGACCGCAUUGUAGAAGUCAAAGUAUAUUUAAUAAGUUUCAUAUUUUAAGGAUCUGAGUCUUCCACCUUUGAUGUUACAUUAUGAACAAACAAGACCCAACUACUGAAGAGUUAAUGACACUUGAGUAGGUUAGAUCCACUGUGCAUGACAUCUCCUCUUCUUCCUUUUUUUUUUUGGUUUGAUAUGUGCAAGACAUCUUUACCCACGGACUAUGUUCCUGUGGUUUUCUUUUUCCAACCAAAUGAAUAACCAACACUAGUAACACUUCAUGCCAUUGUCAACGACACAGGAAUUUCCGAAUUUCCUGUCUUGAUCACUACAGUCACCGAGUUUAAAGUAUCGUAUGAGAAAGCUAUUAGACUACCUGUUGUAUUCUGGUUCCAACAUCAUAGGGGACAACAUGGAUGAGGAUGUUGUAGGUUUGGUUGGGUGUUGGUGAAAGGAGAAUCCGUGAGUUCUGAAAUUGUCCGUGAGUUCUGAAAUUGUAAGUUUGCAGCUACAGAAAAUAAAACAGGAGAUCAUGGACUUAUUUGGAUAUUUGGAAACAGAUCCUAGUGGAAACAUUCUAUGACAAUGUGCUAUUUGCUAGUGGCAGAAGUCGGGCAUGAAAACAAGGAUAUAAUGAGUUAAUUUACGAUGGUUAAUCGAGAAGACGAGUAAGUGGUUAUAUGACCCAUAACUGUUGAAGUAUGAAGCAUGAUCCUGUGCUUAUUGUGUAUUCGUAGAAUUCCAUUCUCUGGUGUUACUUCUUGUUAUUGAGCAACAUGUUUAGUAGAAAUGAUCAUCUUACUACUACUAUUUUCUGUGGUUCAAAAUCUUUUAUCCGCAAUUAUAUACUUUUCAUGCAUGUUCGUAGAGUAUUCUGGAUGUCACAAGUAAUAUGGCAGCUGUAGAAGUUGGUGGAGGACCCUGGUUCAGCCCAUGGAAAGGCCAGACGAAUACACCAGAAUUUGUUAGCCGGGCUCUUAAUCUUCCUGUUGAUGUAGAGGGACUUCUGGAUUCAGUCCCUCUGCUGAAGCCCCCCGGUCUUUAACAGAUCGAGUGCUGUAUUUCUUUACAGGUUAGAGAGGAUGAAAAGCUUCACAACUGCUCAGAUUUUAUAGGUCUUUUCCAUGGGAAACCGGUUGAUCUCCAUACCAAACUUUCCUGUAGGACUUCUUAGGUGAAACAGUUGUAGAUGAACCCCAGAAAAAUAGAAACUUAUCAUCUGAAAAAUUGCCGAAGUAGUCCCAAAGUUUUAGGGAAGAAAUUGCUGUAAAUUUUUUGUUUUUCCUUUCUUUGGGUAGAAAGUGUUGGCAUAUAUGCUUCGAGAUUAGAGAGUUACGUUGUAAAUAAUUGUGAGGCGUUUGAGGGUUGUCCGAGUACAUGAUAAGAGAAUGAAGCACGUGAGAUGCUCUAAACUAAAGUGACAAGAAACUGUACCUCUAUUGAGAAAAAAAAAAAAAAAACCAUUCAAGGAGAGGUAGAAGUCAUACGGAUAUUAAUUAGUAAAGCUGAAAAAAGGUGGGGAAAAGGAUGGAUUGAAUAGUUCGGGGAAGGGAGAAUAAUUGAGAGAUCUCAACUUGACACCUUUUGCUUACAAUUUUUUUAGACAAAAAAAAAAAGAAGCCACAAAAAGGGCAAAAAGUUUGCUUAUCUAAUUAUAUGUUUAGCAAAUUAUUCGGAUGGUAACUAAAUUUAUGGAAUCGUGAAGUUUUGGUUUCUGAACUACUAAAAUUUUGAUUUUGAUCGCUAAACUAUUUACCGUUUGAAUUUCGGACCUUUUCAUUAGGUUUAAUUGUUAAUUAUGAAAUUCACGAGUGUUUGUGUGUUUGUGCGAAGAUUUAUUUAUUUAUUUAUUUUUUAUCAGCAACGAUACAUUUGUAUAAUCUACUCUAUCCUAAUUUAGGGAAGGGGGAGCCUAAGGAGGCUGUUGUAGGGACUAGUGGGUAUACAGAUUCAACUAGAUCAAGGAGUGCUAUGGUACAACCCUUAAAUUUUUUUCGCUGUUGAUGAGGUUUAAACUCUCACCAACAACUUAAGGAGGGACUCAAGUCCUCCCUGAUGGCCACUGAGCCAUUGGCCCAGUGGUUUUGUGCGCGAAGAUUCACGAGACAAGAAAAGUUAUGUCCUAUCACGGGACUUAUGAUUAAAGUUAUGCUGAAAAUUUUAUGUUUUAGGGAUUAAAGUGAGGAUGCGAGUAUGAUUAAAGGAUGUAAAGUGGAUUAUUGCAACAGCUAGUGAAUCUGGUACCACUAACUUUAUUAGGAAGAGCAAUAUCACAAGUGAAAUCAGAUUUACCUUAUCCAAAUUCAGGCAAUCACAGAUUACCUUAUCCCUUUUCUGUGAUAGAAAACUCACCAAGCUUAGAGGAAUAUAUAAUACAUAAGCACGUGAGGAGAACAGAAAUGACACAUUCUGCCGACAUUAAUUUUUUUUUUCUUAAAUAGCAACACUCAAAAGAAAACUAGCUGGCUUUUUUCUUUUUCUUUUUGUUGUUGUAAUUUAAUAAUGGUAACAGAUGGACAAAAAUAAAAAUUAAUGUCAAGUCUUUAGAUCAGUUAUAAUAAAAAUUGUUUAACUGUUAAGGUGGCUGUUGAUUUAAGAGACUGGACCAACAAUGGCAUUUCUCUUUAAAAGCUAUAGAUGCAACUGUUAAUAAGUUACAAAUGUUGUUGAACGAAACUUAAUCAAGCAAGUGAAACCAAGAUUUACAUGGCCAGUCGAUACUCCUGAAUGUCAUGAGAUGGCAUAUUUAUGUAUAUUUUUCUUUUCUUUUUUUCUUUUUUUUUUUUUGGUGCUAAGGAGAGCCAAUGGCUCAUUACAGGUUGGUCAAACGAGGGAAAGCUACUCCACACGCGUCAUGGCCUAGGAGUUCUUUAAGUAUAUUUUUCCUUUGUAUACGAUUAUUGUAUAUAUAUAUAUAUAUAUAUAUAAAUCGGUAGUGUAAAGAUUAACAAUUGUAAUUUAAACCUAACCACAUGAUAAGUAGGGUUGACCUAAACAAGUAUGAUUGGAAAAAGACAAAAGAAAGGGGGGUUUUUUUUUUCUCUGUCACAUCUUUGAUUUUACCAAUAAAUUAUGCAGGCAUUACACGAUUUCUCAGUCACCCUCAAUCAUUUUCUAUAUGAUAGUAUUAGUUUGGAAAGAGUGAUUCAAUUAUUGAGAGCACUUGCUUUAACAUGAUUGCAUGCAACUUUUUGCCUUACACAGAAGAAUCAUAUUUUACCUUAAAUUUUCGACUAUCUUUGGCUUAUAUACUUAGGUCACUUGUGAUAUAUGGCCUGUAUAAUUCAUAAUCUCACAAUUUGAUAAGUACACAUGAAGGUCUAAAAUACUAAGUAACACAAACAUAGAGCAAAUUUCAACUAGUAUAUGUAAAGCAAAUUCGAGGUAAUGAUCGUAAUGCAUCUUUGAAACAUUUAAAAGUGUGUGUGUUGAAAUGCGGUCGACCAUUAUUAUAUGAUGAGGCCCAAUGAAUGGCACAUUAGUUUGUAUCAUAGGCACAAGAAAGUAAAAUCGAACCAAAAAAAAAAAAAAGGGAAAGUUAAGAAUCCAUUUUCCUAUAUAAACGUUCACUCUUAACUCGUUAGUCUCAUCCCUGAAACUCUAGUUCUCUUUCUCUUUCUCUUAUGCUUUGCUCCUCCUACAAUUUAAUCUAUCAUAUACGUAUUUACGGAAGAAACAGGCAGCCAUGAAGAAAGUUCUUCUGUUUCUAAGUGCUCUUGUCUUCUUUGCCCUAGCCCCAGAAGCAACGAACGGUGCGUUGCAUGGAAAGACGCAAGCAUUAAUCAACCGAGCUAACAAAUUUGGACCUUAUUUAGGAUUGGUAAUUCCAAAUCUAUUCGAAAUGAAUCCACUACUCCAACAUCCAAGUUUCGUUCCUAGUGAGCUCGUUAUAGAUUUUGCAGGUACUAUUCCAGCAAAAACACCAUGAAAUCAGAAACAUUUUCAGCAACUUUUGUCCUUCAAGAUUUACACAAAUAACAUCUUAUUUUGUCUUUUCGAAACUUGUUCCAAAGGUAAGAGAUUUCGAUUUGGAACAAUUGAGAAAAAGCCAGUUAUAUUGGUGAUGACGGGACUCGGAAUGGUAUGCAGAUUUUUAGAAUUUCAUCUAUGUUCUUUUUAGGCCAUACUAGAAAAAUAGAGAGGAAUAUGCAUAUUAAUUCUCCUACUCCUUAUUAGCUAAAUGCAGGUGUAACUACGCAGCUUUUGCUGAGCUUGUUCGAAAUAGAGGGUGUUGUGCAUUAUGGAAUUGCUGGGAAUGCAAACCCUUCUCUUCAUAUUGGAGAUGUAACUAUUCCUCAGUAUUGGUCUCACUCUGCUCUGUGGAAUUGGCAGGUAUAACUUGGCAGAUUUACUUUUGUAUGCGUAGCACCAUUAUAAAAAUGAUUAAGUAGUAUUAACACGUAGCUACUAUAUUAAAUCUCUUAUUCUUUUUCUUAAUCUAAAUACCAAUAUUGGAGGUCAAAGGGUACACUUCUAUGUUUGUUUCCUAACCCAACAUCUCAAGGGUGCUGCGGUGGGUUGUGUUUGAGACCAGCAUCAACAACAGAUUAGGCUAAAUCGACACUUCUCCAUUCUAAAUUUACACCUCUAUGCAUUCGUCGUGUGGAUAUUCAUGACCUAUAUUAGUUGUUUGAUACUUGUAUAAGAUUUGCACUCCAUAACAAGUUGUAUUAUUCGUAGUAAAAUUUGUACAAUUUGAGAAUUUAAAUCAUAGAGGAUGUAAAAUUCAGCAUUUUCCACAGUUCCAUGCUGGUGUAUGUUAUGAAUUUUGGGUUUACGAUUUUGCAAUUCUAAUAGUCUACAUACUGAUGUAGCAUCCUUUUGUUUGGUACUUAGUUACAUUAGAAGUUCUAUUGACCCAAUGAUUUUUCUUAUUUUAGCUAGGUAAAAGGAUUAUUUUCUGAAGGGUCAUAGUCUAUGGAUAAGCCUGUACCGCUUUUGGGACAUCAUUACUACUUUUCUAUUUGUUGAUAGGAAACUUCGUAUAAAUCUGGGCCAAGGAAAUACUUGUGGAUUUAAAGAUUUGACAAGAAAUGGGAAGAUUCAUCUGAUGCUGAUUUAAUAAACGACAAUUCCUUUCCUCUCAUUACCUUAUUAGUAAAUUAUUCAACUUCAGUUCAUCAGGGGAUUCCGUUUGAAGGUCCUUAUGUAGUAAAAAAGAAAGUGAGGCGGGCUAAGAUUCCAUUUGAAGUAAGGUAAUAGGAUUCGAUGUUGCUCCAUCUUCAACUCUUAUCGAGAUCUCUGAAGUUUUUGGAGAAAAGUUUCCAUCCUUCAAUAUCAUGAUUGGAUCGACCAGGCCAGAUCAUGCAUGACUGAAUACAAAAUAAAAAAAAAAAUGUGCAUAGCUGCUCCUGCUAAAAUAUAUACUUGGAAUAAUUCUACCACUUCUACAUUACUAGGAGUAACCUUUUUAGUGCUAGCUCAAUGUAAAGUAAUGACACUUUUAUGCAACGUCCAAAAGGGUCCUGAUGUAGUAAAGGGACCGUUUGGAUAGCUACAGCCUCUGGACCUUGCAUUGUUUUCCAUCCCCACACUGUUUCAAAUGUGAACCUUAGAAAGUAUAUUAAACAGCCAACCUGCAUGGUGACACUGAGAAAUAAAAUUCCUUAUGGAGUAAUAUGGAUUUUGGGGUCAUAUUAACCAUGUAUAAUUUCACAUCUAUGAUCGUUAAAUUCCUGUAAUAAUGGCAAUGCUGCAGAGAUAUGGAGACGGGCCUAGCAACGAACUCCCACUUGAAGAGAAUGGAGACUACACAAGGGAUAUUGGGUACAUAAGAUUUGCAGAUUAUACAACCAGUAAUGUAACAAGCUGCAGCAGCCCGUUUGAUAAUCUUCUAAAUAACGUUUGGUACCAGCCUGAGGAAGUUUUUCCAAUAGAUGGAGAUCCUGAAGAAAGACAACAUGCAUUUUGGGUCCCCGUCGAUUCCCAUUACUUCAAGAUCUCAAGAUUGCUUGAGGUAAUUUAAGCCAUCUCCCACUCAUUUAUUCAUGUCUGGUCACUUUUUUUCCUUUUUGUAUAAUUCUUUGUUUGGGGUUUAGUGGGUCGGGUGCUGGUGGUGGUGGUGGUGGGCUAAGCCUGAUAUGACUCAGAACUAUAUCCCAUCAAUUUCGUGUCCCAUCAUCUGCAAAACCCUAGCUUAAUGUGUAUAAAUAUAUAAAGCACAAUCCAUUGUACUAUAAUGCAGAAUCAAAUAAGUAGUAAUUUAAUGGUAGUUUUGUAGAUGGAAUUUCUAACCCUUUUCCCUCCUUUUGAGCACGCAUAGACAGAGUGCACCAAACACUAGUUCAAGCAGCCGAAUAAAUUUCAAUUUGGCCUAUAAGCAAUUCUCUCUUUUCCUAGUUAAGUUUGAGGUACCAAGAAAGUGAAAACAAUUUUUAUGUAAUUGAGUUCUUAAUAUAUCAUUUCAUACUAGGAUUUUAGAUGAUUAUAGUAUUUCUCUUCCUAUACUGUGAUACUGAAAUCUACGUGUAUUUCUGGUCUAAUAAUUCCAUCUAAUCAGACAAACAAUUAUUUAGCGUGCAAUGACUUGAUUAUGAGCAAAACGACGCCGCUUAAUUAAUAAUGCCAAAUUAAUGUGGUUGAUUAAUGACUUAGGAUAUACAGACCUCGAAGAAAUUAAAAAACAAGAAUAUGUAUACAGCAAAACUAAAGUACAUUACAGAGAGUAAUCCACUGACUUAUUCACCUCGCCAACCCCAUAAAAUAGUAAUUAUGAAACUCAAAUAAACAUAUAUUUUCUCAGAGAUUAAAUUCUUCACUAGAGAAAAUCCUACGUUUUAUCUUCUUGACAUCCGUUUAUUAAUUAAAACAUGGGGAAAAAAUUUCACUAAUGUAUCAAAUUAAACUAAUGUAUCUUUGUUACUUUAAUUUUCAGGGCUUGGAAUUAGAAGGUUGUGUGAAUUCAACAACAUGUUUGGACACAACCCCAAAGGUGACAAGGGUUGAAAGAGAGAACAAGUGCCAGCAUUUACUUAGACAAUGCAGCUUAUAGGAGCUUCAUAUACAACAAGUUUAAUGUGAGCCCUGUGGAGAUGGAAAGUGCCUGCAGUGGCUCUCGUUUGCCAUCAGCAAAGGGUUCCUUUCAUUGUCAUUAGGGCACUUUCCGACUUGGCCGGCGGUGGCACCGCUGAAUCCAAUGAGGCUGCUACUUUCACUGCUCUUGCAGCUGAUAAUUCUGUCAAAGUUGUGGUGGAAUUCAUCAAGAUUUUACUGUCUUUUCCAUGGCUCCUUCGAGAAGUCAGAAGCUGAAAGAUCAUCAGGUAUGACAAAUGCUUGAAUAAGUUCAUGUGAGCAAAGGAGAAUGAUUGUUCCGCAGAACAUGCAGGCUGGCUUAAUCUUAUCCCUUUUCUUCUGUCUCUUUCUACGAGUGGAAUAAAUUGUAGUUUGGAUCAUCAAAACGUCAUGUUUUUGUACUGAUCCAAUUCGAGUAUAUUAUAUAUCAGAUCUUUGUUGUUCUUUUUCUGCAUUUUUCUCCAAAAUCCACCUUGAGAUGGUGAAGGGUUCUGGUAGACUCACGCCAGUUUUUAGGAAACAAAUUAUGUAUUGUGGGCAUAAAAUUUUUAUCUCCAAGAUUUUGUCAACCCUGCUAAUCUUGAUUCUUCAGACAUUCCACAUGACUUUAGCCAAAGGUCACAAUGACAAGCCUCCAUGCCUUGUGGCUAGUUGGCUACCGACAAACGCUGUAUGUUGACAAAUCUUCUGCAAAACAACAGAAAGCUGAGUUGUUUAAAUCUUUAAAAAAAACAAAAGAAAGAGUUAUUUAAAUCUUGAUAUUACUGAUGUGCAAAAUUUUCUAAAGAUUCAUAAAACCAGACACUAAGAGAUGUUUUGAGCAUCCACCAAACAAAAUAUCUCUGAGAAUCUUGAGCUGUCGAUGCAGUGAAUUGAGCAACCUUAGAGCCUAAUUGGUUUAGUCCUUCUAGAGUUGGAAAAAUGAUCAGGAGUGACAAAUUCUUGAAUAAAAUUAAUAUCAACAAAGGAUAAUGAUGUUCUGCUGAACAUGUUGGGUUGCCUCGGUUUCAUCCUUUCCAAUUGAAUAUUAGGCAGACGAUAUUUGUUUUCAACUAAUAAGAUGUAAUACAAGUGACUUAUUAAAAAAAAAAAAGCAAAAAUAUCUAUUCAAGAAAAAUCCCUGCAAAGCAUAGGGACCAUAAACCACAAGUAGAUGUAACUCUCCCUGUUUAGAUUAAGCAUAUGUGAACAAAUUUGAUUGGUUAAACUACUAUUCUCAAAAAUCAAAGACUGCCAGUAGUCAUUGAAUACUUUUACAUUAUUGCACCUACUACCUACUACUGAAAUUUUUUAUUUGUAUCAAACGUGAAAGUUGUAAUCUGAACCACAUCUCCAGGCAAUCACCAUAUUCCCAACAAAUCAGUCAUCAACUUUUCUUUUUUGGGGUAAAAAGCUAUGGGCAUUGACAUCUAGAUAAGAGAGUUUACGUAGAAAAUAAUAGGCGAGAAAAAAAAACCUAGCUCUAUAAAAUAAUACUCCCUCCGUCUUAUUAUUAAUGUCAUAUUUUCAUUUUUUUAUUGUCUCAAAAUAAAAGUCUCAUGGCAAAAAUCAAACAACUUUCAAUACUAUUUCUUUUCGUACCCUUAAUAAGAAUAAUAAGAAUGAUAAUUUCAUCAAUUAAUAAUAAAUAAUUAUAUAUGGCCGACCAUAACACGUGCACACUUUCACAAGUCCUGUGACCUUUUGUUUUUUAGCUUUCCGUGUUCAAACAAUGGGUACGACUGGAAGAAUACGAAAAGUGCAGUCCACCAUUUGACUAUACAUAAUAAGUGCUACUCCCGAAAAGUGUCCCAAUUUUUGGGAAGGAGGAAGUGUAAAUUACUUAUUUUCCCAUGCAAUUUUUAUAUAAUGCUAAAUGACCACCCCUAAGGUUUAAGAUAGCUACAUAACUCUCCCGUGGUCCUAUAUAAAGUGAAAAUAGACAGAAUGCACAAUCAAUUAUAACAUUUAUACUAAACACACUUUAAAAGCACUUGUGAUAAACCUACAUUAUAACUCCCUAUGGCUUCAACUAAAUUAAAAAUUGGCUGAAAGCAUCUAAUCUAACGGUUGUACGUGAAAUGUCAAUAAUGCUUCUGUAUAUAUAAACUUGUGAUUUUUCAAAUAUUUAAUUUAAUUUUCUCUCUGAUUUAAAAAAAUAUACUAUAGUUUCCUAUGAUUUUGACUAAAUUAAAAAUUAAACAAAAAGCAUUUCACAUAUAAUAAGGGCAAUAUUGACAUUUCACAUAUAUCCGUUAGAUUAGAUCCAUCCAAUUUUCAAUUUAGAAGAAAUCACAGAGAGUUGUAGUAUAAAUUUUUAAAUUUGAGGGAAUUAAAUUAUAUAUUUGACAAAUCACAGGGAGUUUUUUUCUAUAUUUUACCUUAAAAAAAUCACGGGUUUGGAAGUUUAUUGCAACAACAAAGACGUGACAUGAGGAUUGACAAAAUUUAUUUAGAAAUGACCAAACCACGUGAUAAACGAGGUAGACCUAAACGUAAAUCAUUGAUAAAAGACAAAAGAAAGGGGUCCACAAAACACAGAAGCAAUAAUUUGCUCUCAUUACACUCUUAGAAAAAUGUAAAAAAAAAAAAAAAAAAAUUAGGAAGUAAAACAAUCAGAGAGAGACACGAGGGAAUUAUGACGUACCUUCAGCAAUACAUUUCUGUGUAGCUCAGACGGCAACAGCAAACUUGUUUGGAUUGCUGUUUUGGUCAAAAAAAAAAUUAUGUAAUUUUUCGUGAUCAUAUUUCUUUAUUAUCUUUUUUUUACAUAUAUUAAAUCGUUACAGUAAUUUUUUUAUGAAAAAUCACGAAAAAUGCAAUCCAAAUACAACCUAGAUGAAAAUCUGUAAAGGUAUUCUGCUCAAUUGCACUAUAACUUAUAUUCACUUCUCUUAAGUAAAAGGUUUGCAGUGAUCUUUUAUUUUUUCAAUGAGUUAUAUGAAUGUUGCAUUAUUUCCCGUGGCACUUUCGAAAGUUUUCUGCAAAUAAUAUUUUAUGUUAGAGUAAGGCCUUGUUUGGAUUGCUUGUUUUUGUCGAAAAAUUACGUCAUUUUCCUAUUAUCUUUUUCCUCACAUACAUCAAAUCGCUACAGUAAUUUUUCCAUGAAAAAUGCAAUCCAAACACAAUCUAAAUUUUCGAAACCAGCUCCUAAACUAUCACUUUUAUACACUUUUGCCCCUAAACUAUACUAUAUAUCGCUUAAGGCUUAAACAAGUUAACAUAUAAGGUUUUGGCCCUUUUGUUUCUACUAUAUUGACCUGACAGAAUGGAGAAUCAAUUUUGUCCCUCCAAAAAAAAAAAAAAAUGACGAACUUUUGGCUCUUUUUACUCUUCUUCUUUGCAGGUUAUUUCAUCCUUUAGUCCUAAUUUUUGUAUGAUUCAAUAAUAAUAGAAUUAUAGUGAUCUGAUCUUUUACUCAUCUUCUUGUCAUUUCUUUUUCAUACAAGGACAAUUUUUUCCCUCCAUUCUAUUAGGUCAAAUAGCAAAAAUUGUUUGAAGUGCCAAAAGUUUAUAAGGUCAAAUAGCAGAAAUUAAUAGAAGGGCCAAAAGUUUAUAUAUUAAUUUGUUCAAAGGUUUAAACACUACACAAUAUAGUUUAAGAGUCAAAAGUGUACAAAAAUAAUAGUUUAACGACCAAUUAGGCAAUUUAAUCUUGAUGUUACUUGUGUUGGGAUCUAAGCGCAGAAAACAAGACUAUUGAGAAAUCAAGAAUACAAUAAUUUAACGAGAAACAAGCACAAGCAUGAAUACCUCUACCUAUUUAUAAGUUACAUUACUUGACUAAUACCUAAUAAGUAAUAAUAGGAAACAAUUACUAAUUCUUAAUCUUAUAUAAAAUAAAAAUAACUCCUAAUUCCUAAAUUCAUAUAAAUAAGAAAAUAAUUAAAAAGCUAGUUACUUACAAGCAAAAAAGAAAAAACUUGUCUAAAGAGAUAAAACCAAUUUGCUAACAACUUGUCACUCGCUUUACAUAUUCAAAUGCUCGCAAGUCACUUCUUGUCUGCGUACUGCGUCUUUCUUCUUCUUUGUCGCUUCACUUUCUUUCAAGGACAAAAUGAUCCUACGUUGGAAAAACACAUGCGAAUCUUAUGUAACUUUUUGUCUUGCGCAGAUGAAUCACUUUUACUGUAUAUUAAAUUUGCAUUCCGAUUUCUUGAUAUGCUAAGGUAACUUGUGGGUUUUGAUUUUAUACUUUCACAAACUGUAUAUGAAUUAUUAUAAUUUGAUAAGUCUUGACGUUGUAAAAGUACAAGUAACGUAAAACCUAAAGAUUUUUAAUACAAAUAGAUAGCCUGAAGGGAACAGAUUCAAACUUAUUCAUAUAAGUUAAAUAUAGGGUGACGAUACUUACACACCCCAUCCCAUGAAUAUCUACUAGACCAAACGACAAGCAUUACUAGUAGGAAAAUAGAGGUGUACAAGAAACCAAACAUUAUCGUUAAUUUUGUUCACAAUUAUAUUGUAAGUUCCAUGAAAGAUAUGAUUAGUUUGUACAAAAAAAUAUAUAAUUAAAAAUUAAAAAUCCAUUUUCCUAUAUAAUGGUCAGUCUAGCAGCUCGUUAGUCUCAUCCCUGAUCAGUAAUUCUCCUGUUUUUUCUCUCACACUUGCUCCCAAAACUAUUCAAAAACAUGAGUGCAUAGUGAAGAUGGCGGCCAUGAUGAAAAUUUUUUGCUUCUUUCUGUUGUUAUCAUCUUUGCCCACAUCCCGGAAGAAGCAGAUAGUACAUUGCACGCAAAGACACAAGAAUUGAUCAAUUGAGCUAACAAAUUAUUGAGGUUUGGUAAUUCUAAAUCUACUUGAAACGGAUCCACUACGUACAUAAACAUCCAAGUUUCAUUCUUAGUGAGCACAUUAUAUGCCAUCGUCAUGCAAGUAAAAAAAUUCUGACAAAUCAGAAGCAUUCUGGGCAACUUUCAUGAAGAUUUACUCAAACAAUAAGUUGAUAAUUAAUUUUUAUUUUAAAUCUUAGCCUAAAGGAAAUUAAGUGUGUGCUAACACAAUCGAACAGAGUGUGCAGUGCAUGAUUUGAGAUGUAAACAGGAAAUGGUCAAAUAGGAUAUGAAAUGGGAAUAUGGAGUAAUAAUCUUCCUCCUAUAUUAUUUAUUAUAUUACUAAACCUUGAGCGUACAUAUAUUGUCUAAUCCUCCCUCGUCUACCCAGUCACUAUUUAGCAUGCAGUAUUGACUAUUUACUCAACUGCAAAACGACAAGCUUAAUAAUGCUAAAGUUAUGGUCUUCACACGAACCAUAACUUUGGGAAUAAUGCGAAGUUUUUCUUUACCCCAAAAUUAAGAAAAGAAAGAGCCUAUGUUUUCAGACUCGGACCGGGUAUCAACUCAAUUGAAUUUAGGGGUCAGGGGUCAAUGGAUUCGAUCGGAGUUGAAUAAGAUGACGUUAUAAAUAAAACUUACUUAAAAAUUAAAAUAUUGUAUGUAAAAUACUUAAGAAUAUGUUAAUAUUAACAAAUAUAUAUAUUCAUACAUAUUUGAUGUUUUAAAUAUAUUUAAUAAGAAAAUACAAAGAAAUUAGAAUGAUCAAGUAGCAAUUUAUAUUAUUAAAUGAACAUUAACAAGUUUAGAAUUAAAAUUAUGGAUUUGAUUGAAAAAUAACACCAAACUUUAGGACAACAUUUAUAAAGUAUGAAAUAUUUGAGAUAUAUUAAUAAUUUUUAGCAACCUAGGGGCCAAAACAUAAUAUUGAAUAUGCUUUGACCUUUUAAAAAAAAAAUCUUGACAUCAAAUCGGUUCAUCUAGUUUGCUAGUCAAACCCGGUUUUGAUCGAGUUUGAACGAAUUUUUAUAUAUCUGAUUUUUUAGAGUAAUUCAGACUGGACACUUGACCGAUUUCCAAUUCGAUCAGUCAGACCGCCCUGUCUGAUCGCGAGUUUAAAAACACAGGAAAGAGCAGCACAUACAAAGUGAAAAUUUCUAAAUAAUAAGUCACAUGUAGAUCCAUAAAGAUAGACUUCCUUUUCUCCCAAAGGUACUAAUGAAACUCAAAUGGAGAUUUUUUUUUAAAUUAUUUUUUAUGAGAAUCUCAAUUCUUGUUAUCUUUUCCUCCGUUAGUUAAUUGAAACUUUUAUCAACUAGGGGAAACAAUGUAACUUAUGCAAUUAGCUAGUUAGCUAAACUCUAAUACAUAUCUUUAUUAAUUUUACUCGUUUUUGGACCUUUAUAGUAGACCAAGUUUGUCUGAAAUAAAUAUGUUUGAAACCAAUUUCAAGGGUGCCUUUCAUAGUUAUUAGGGCACCUUCCGACUUGGCCGGGUGGCAGUGCUCAAUCUAAUGAGGCUGCUACUUACACUUCUCUUGCUGCUAAUAAUGCUUUCAAAGUUGUGGUGGAAUUCAUCAAGAUUUUACAGUUUUUCCAUGGCCUCUUUCAGAAGUUGAAAAAUGAUCAGGAGUGACAAACUCUGGAAUAGAUUUAUGUCAGCGAAGGAAUUUAGAUACAUGUAAAGCUAGCUGAAUCUCAUCCCUUUCCUUUUUCCUCUUUUCACGAGGAAAAAAUAUUUGUACUCAAUGAAUAAAAUUUGCCUGCAUUUCUACGUGAAAUUUUUAAUUUCCAAGUCAAUUAUGAAAUUCAGCACUUAAGAUCCAGUUACUAAUCUUGAAUCUUAAGACAUCCCAAAUGUCCUUUGUCCCUUUGACCCAUACAACUUUUCUCUAAAGACCUUAAGCUCCUGUGUGAAACUCGGAAUUUAGUUUAAAAAAAAAAAAACUAAAGCUAUAGGAAAAUCGUACUCCUGUGAAUGGUGUUUACUCAAAAAUAAAAGGGAAAAGAAAAAAUGAGAAUGAAAGUCAAGUACAAGCAAAAACAAGAAACAACUACAUCAAGAACUUCAGAUUACUUGUCAAUUGCUUCGCCUUCAUCAUAUUUUAAGAUCCAGAAAACGAAGAGGACCAAUUCUCUCUCUCUCUUUUUUUUUUGCAAACGAAUCAAUCCGCCGCGCGAGGGGUCGAGUCAAAGUUCAAAUUGAGCUCGAGUCAAACUCGAAUUGGCCAAAUCGAAUUCGAGCUCGAGUUCGAACUCAAAAAUAUUAAGUUCAUUAGCUCAAGUAUACAUAUAUAUAUUGUUUUAUUUUAAUAGUGAAAUUAUAUAUAUGUCCUUAAUAUAUUAUUAUCUAUUAAGAAAAAUACUAUUUUAUUUAUUUUUUAAAAAUAUAAUAAUUAUUUGAAUUUGAGUCGAGCUCGAGCUCGAGCUUUAAAUUGGCAGCUCAUUGAGUUCGAACUUGAUAAAACUAAGUCAAGAUUCAACUCAAUUAGGUCAAAACUCGACUCAACUCGUUUGCAAUCUUAAGAAUAACUAGUGACAAAGGCGCUCUCAAAAGUUUAAAAGUAUUUUUCAUAAAUUUAAAUUUUGUCCUUGCUAAAAAUUGAAAAUGUUCUAUUUUUAUUCAAGUGUAAAUAUGUUAAAAUUAGCACCUUCAAAAUAAAUUUUAUCGGUCCAUCUACAGCCAGACAUUCCGGAGGUCAUGGAGUCCACAGCUGCCGAACCCUGUCAUUAAGCAAGGCAAACUUGUUUAACUUGGGGUUGAUUAUUCAUUUAACCUAUCAUGCAUAUACCCACACUAAUAAUUAUUACCUUCCUUUGCAUUUAUGUACUUUUCUUAAUUAAUCUUACCUUUCCAAAAACCUAACGCCUGAAAUUCAUCUUGACCAGUGUCCAAUACACACACGUUAAAUAAACCUUUAUUUAUUUAUCAUUUUAUUAUUAUUACUUUGUUCAAGGCGAGACUCUAAGCCUUACAAGAGAGACAGAGGAAGAUUUGAAAUUUGAACCAGAGACCUUAGGGUAACUGGCUGAUGCACUACUAGUUAAGUUGGAUUACGAAGAAAUGAGCAUCUCACAUUGUAGGCAUCAUGGAACGAGCAAAUUUAAGGCUUUUCCUCAAAAUGCAAAAGCAUAUAGUGUAUGGGUGUAAAGUCAUUUUAGAAAAUUCUGAUCAUUCCUUUUCUAGGGAAAAUUCCUAAUAAUUUCAGAUUGCAGAGAAUGUGCCAAUAUAUUGGAAUGCAAAAGGCUCAAUGCCCAUGUAAAAUCUCUUGAAUGGAAAAUAUAUUAGUCUGUAGUGUUGGUGAUACAAGGAAUUAGCAAAUUAAACAUCACCUUAGGUAAAAGAGUAGUAGUGUUCAACACAAAGGUGGUGCCAAUUGUGAAUGUGGACUUGCCAAAAACCAAAACAAUAGAAGCAGCUUAAGCAUCACCUUAGUGUAAAGCGAUGCUACCAUCCAACAUAAAGGUGGUGCAAAUUGUGAAAAAAUGGACUUAACAAACACAAGAAAAAAUUGAAUACGUUGUUUGCAAAAUGAUGUGCCAUACAGACUUCAAAGGCUCGCAUCCAAAGGUCUCUGGUUUUAUGCAUCUGUCACAGACUUCCUGUGCAUACGCAUGUGAGGAUAUGAAUGUACUUUACAAUAUACUAAAACUCCGAACCUUAUUAGUACUGCAAAAGCAAAUUGGCGCUGUAAUGUAUUUCAUGUCUCGUUUUAGUAUCCUUCCCCCCAACCCAAAGAGUUUAAGGUAAUACCCCUUGGUCCCCAAAAUCUUAUAAUUGUACCAAAUAGUCCUACAAUCCCCAAGCAUUUGUUUUCUAAUUUGCAAGCAUAAUUGUUUGCUAGCCACAUCUGCUCUAAUAGUUAAAUUGGGCAAAUCAAACUCAAAGGCUCGCAUCCAAAAUUAUCCAAAUAAGGAAUGUACGUGCAGAGUUUUAGGUACAAACUCUUUUCUCAGAGUAACAGCAUAAGGAGCAGAAGUAAGCAACAGUAGUAGUGAUAAAGAUUGGGAUAAUUGCAGAAACCUCCCCUGUGGUUUCUGACAUUUGCACUGACCUUCCCUGUGGUUUGAAAAAUUACACUAACCUCCCCUGAGGUUACUAAUCCUUUACAAAUUCAGUCCAAACGAUUAAAAUAUUGUUUUAGAGAGUGAAAUUCGAAUUUUGUACUAAAUCUGUCCUUUGUACUACACGCCAAUGAAUGACAAAAUACUACAAAUCAAUUAACAAUUAAUAAACUUUAAGGAAUAUAGUUUAUAGGCAAAUAAGCAUUACCUAUUUAAAAGUACCGGCUCUUACGGGUAUUUUACUUUCACACAUUUAAUUUAAUACAACUAUUUACGCUCAAAUACAGAUUUGUAUUUACUUUCAAAUAAAUUUUUGUUAAAUACAAAAACUACCAAUCUCUCUUCCGUAAGAAUAUUAAUAUACACUUUUUCAAUUUUAGUUAUAACCAUUUAUGUAUUAAUAUAAAUUAAAUGAUUUAGAAUAAAAUACCCAUAAAGAGCCAAUACUUUACUCAUGUAAUGGAUAAAAGUCAUAAAGAAUUAAUACUUUAUGAAUCAUUUCUUUUUUUUAAAAAAUAUUUAAUUUAUAUUAAAUAAGUAACCUACCGAUUUCAUUUUUGCAAGAAUAUUAUUGUAACACAUUUUAAAUUUUACUUACAAACAUUGAUAUAUUAUCAUAAAUUAAAUGUUUGAAAAUAAAAUAUCCAUAAAAAGUCGCACUUUAAAUGAAUAAUGCGUGUUUGCCCAUAAAGAGUCGGUAACUAUUUAAAGUACCGGCUCUUUACAGUUUUUACUUUUAAACAUUUAAUUUAAUACAAAUAUUUACGCUCAAAUACAUAUUUGUAUUUACUUUCAAAUAUUUUUUUUAUUAAAUACAAACCACCUCCUCUCUUCCCGUAAAAUAUUAAUAUAACAUUUUUUCAAUUUUAGUUACAACAUUUAUGUAGUUAAUAUAAAUUAAAUGAUUCAGAAAAAUGCACAUAAAGAACGAAUACUUUACUUAUGUAAUGGAUGAAAGUCAUAAAGAAUUAAUACUUUAUGGCGGCCAUUUCUUUUUUUUUUAAAAAAAUAUUUAAUUUAUAUUAAAUAAAUAACCUACUGAUUUCCUUUUUGCAAGAAUAUUAUUAUAACACUUUUGGAAUUUUACUUACAAAUAUUGAUAUAUAUCAUAAAUUAAAUGUUUGAAAGUAAAAUACCCGUAAAGAGCGCGGUACUUUAAAUAAGUAAUGCGUAUUGGCCCAUAAAUUAUACUCCUUAAAGUUUAUUAAUUGUUAAUUGAUUUAUAAUACUUUAUCAUUCAUUGGACAUGUAGCACAAAGGACAAAUCUGGUACAAAAUUCUAAUUUCACUCCCUAAAACAAUAUUUUAAUCGUUUGGACUAAAUUUGCAAAGGAUUAGUAACCUCAGGGAGGUUAGUGUAAUUUUCCAAACUAUAUGGUGAGGUCAGUGCAAAUAUCAGAAACCUCAAGAGAGGUUUAUGCAAUUAUCCCUAAAGAUUAUUUCACUACAUUCAGCGUAUUUAUUGCUAGAUUUGUUGUAAUCACUGCAGAUACAUAAAUUGUAGAGGGACAAUGGGUUUGUUUGAAUUGUAAUUUAUUUGGAAUAUUUUUACUGUAGCACUUUUUGUGACGUGAUGUAUGUGAGAUAAAAAGGUAAUGGAGAAGAUAAAAGGUGUAUUGAAAAUUGUAAUAAUAAUGUAAGCAAAAAAUUGGGAAAAUAAUGCUCAAUCCAAACAAACCCACAUUAGUAUUAUAUAUUCAUCAAGCUGAAGGCAAAGGAGUAUAACCAGAUUCUUUUUCUGGUACUUUUUUAGACAGCAUGUUGCUGUUGUGAUGAGAUUUAUAGAAUCGGCAGCAAAGAGAAAAUAGAAAAGGUUGAUUAAGUUUAAGAAGCCAAGCAGCCAAUAAUAGUAGUCAAGAUGACCUUCAUUCAGGUUGUUGGCCAACCAGCUUGCUUUCCACCAUGACUAGUAAUGCUAUUGAUAAUAUUCACCAGAAGACUUCCAAUCAGGCUAGCCAGAGCCAUCUCCAAUGGAACAUAGCCACUCCAACACUGGACAUGCUCUUGGGAACAGCAUGUAAAAGAACUGUAUCUGUCCAAUUGCGAAUAAAGCUUCAGCCAAUCCAAUGCAUACCGUCUGUGGCACUAACCACAUAGCAGACAUGUCCAGGACAGCAUCAGGAUCAUCCUCAAACCCCAUCCUCAACUGCUUUUUCAGCCUUUAUGCUCUCGACUACACCUUGCCAAUACCAUUGCGAUAAAUGACAUAACCAGCCCAUGCCCAUCCGUACUAUGGGACUUAGUCCUUGCGGAUUACCAGUAUAUCUCGCCAAUAGCAGUGCGUACACGAUCAUAAAUGCGACCCAAAUUGUUAAAGUAAUUAUCAUGAACAGACUAAAGGAUCCUGCAGGAAUUUCAAAAUUGGUGAGAAUAAGUGCCUAUCCAUGGAAUUUGCUUGAAGUGUUAGAAAACCUUGGUCUAUGGUCACUAUAAGUACAAGGCCGUGGACCACAUGGGUAUAACUUUGAGAAGAGCCUGAGUGAUUCAAGUUGUUCCACACUGCAGAGUCUCCAUGGAUUUGAAGCUAAUCCAUCUGAAGUUAACUCUGUGUCGGGGUCUUGAACAACACAAGCCUUAUUUAAACACCUGUUACCAGUGCUAAAGCAUCAAGUAAAACAACCAAGGAUCCUACUUGAAAAAAUGUCAAAGUGAUUUUUAUUGUAAGCUAUACUGAUCAAGCAAAAAGUAUUUUUAUUUCUUGCUCUCACAAGGAGAAAGCAACUCCUCUGUCUGAUAACUACGUUUCCGAGCAAGAUCCAGAUUGAUACAAAUGUUUUGAUUAUCCAAUUAACAUCCAAUUAUUGUAAACAAUCAUACUAACUGCAGUGUAUUCUCUAAAAACUGACUGGCAGUCUGUGUCAGAGGGUGUCAAUAUCAACAUAUCUAAAAGUCUCAAGAGUUUGAGAAACUUUACUAAUGUAAUGGCAUCUAAAAAUGUAGCAGCUGUACCUGAACUCCUCAGUGGGUGAUAGAAGCUUCGACUGCCGGUUCUAUGGUAACACUUGUAUUCUUCGUCAAAGGGUAUUGAAUCUCUCUCUUUCUAAAGCUGCCACAAGGACUUGAAAAAAUCCAGUAAACAAGCUCUCACUAGGUUUUGCUUUGAUGUAAAGAGAGGAGCCAAUUAUGAACAUCAGAGCAGAGAAAACCAUGAGAAUGGCAGGGAUUCCAAAUCCAACUGACCACCAAAUGAUCCUGGAUGUAAACAAUAACAGUCAUGGCAAGAAGAGUUGAGAUUGCUGUAGAAGCAUAAUACCAGUUGAAAUAAGUUUCUAGAACCCUCUCAUUAUUGGGAUUUUGUUUGUUGUCAAAUUGGUCGCGCACCAAAAACAACAGAACAAGGCCUAAUACAACCAGCUCCAACAGACAUUAGCAAAAAUGAAGACAACAAGGGAAUGAUUUGAGCUCCAUUUGGAGCACUGCACUUGUGCUUCAACUGGUCACAAGAUAAAGGCUGCAAUUGUGGAACCACAGCAGUCAGCCACAGAAGAAUCAUUCCCUGCACAAACAGACAAUAUAUUGAUUUUUCAACCAAAAAGCGGACAGAGAUUUCAAUCCCCAUAAUCUUACCCUAAUACCAAAUAUUUAUGACAUAUCAACACCAUAAAAAGACAAAUGCCCUAUCGGGCAUACCAAUAACUACAUGCAUACCAGUACUAGAUAUGACAGCAUUGAGAUGAUCGUACUUUACAGAUUCUCUUUUACAUAUGGAUCCAAAAGCAACUAUUCUUGUCAUAUUUCUAUUCCGCCUUUCCUAAUGAUGCUUAGAAGCUUAUAUGUUGAUAGUUGUAUGUUACCAAAUCGUAUGAUGUCAUUGCACAGUCAAACAGAUUGUCUGCAUGCAUAUGUGACAGCACUAGUACAUAAUCAACAUUUCUACUUCGGCAAACAAGCAGCCUAAUUGCUUCACAAGGAUACAUUACAAGCAUUUCAUCUAUGAUAAAUCUGUCUCUAAUUCAACAAAAGGUUGAAAAGUUCUCAGCCAAAGUUAACCUGGUAUCCAACUAAUAUUUCCUGUCUAUUUUACUUUAUCAAUCCUAUCAGCUAAUCUUCAAGAUAGCUUUCCUUUUGCAGGAUAUUGAGAGGAGGAACCUUUUAAUGCAGCCCCUUAGGAGGCACAUCCAUACAAAUAAUUUGGGCAAUUGAUUAGUCACAAAUUUGUGCAAAUUCUGAUGACUUGGAGUUGCACAUGCGCAUAAAGCAACAUAUUCAAGAGAAAUUAUUUGGCUUUGAGCUCUCUGUAACUGUGGCUAAGACAAAAAGUAAAGCAACCUUCUAGAGAUUUUGUUUGAUCUAUUGGUUUUCUUCUUACAGGCUAGCUGUACAGACUCUACUUUUCUUCAGAAACUCUGUAUUGACAAUAUAUUAUAGUGUUAAUAUAGUAAUCUAUCAUCUUCAAAAUAAAGCUUAGAUAAGUUAGUGGACAUACCUCAAAGCAGCCACUCAAAAUUCACCUCUCAAGCAACUCAAAUCUGAAUUUCACUCCUUUCUUCGCAUUCAUUUACCUUAAUAAGACAUUAUGCUGAUUUAUGCGUAUAGCAGAAUCACGGUGCAGGUAUUCUACAUUUUCCAUCCAUCAGUUAAUUUACCAAGGCUUGUUUCAUCUUCUUCAACAUCAAGAAAACUGCCCCUAAAUUUUUGUAAUUUAAGGGUGAAUAAGUAGUAGCAUCUGGUGCUAAUUAGUUGAAUAGGUUCAAUUUGCACUGGAAUUGACCCUGAUUCUUCUUUACUAUAAUAGUUAACUCCAAGAAAAUUUAACAUUGACAACAAUGAUAGGAAGAACUUUUGAUUUGGACCAAAUUAAUUACAUUCCUCAGUCAUCAAAUUCCCAAUUCCCUAAAGAAAGAUGUUAUCAAGAAACAGCAAUAGAAUCGCUUCAUUGUUUAUUUUUAUACACAAAACUUGCAAAUGUUGGCUCAAAAUCAUGCACAGAUGAGUAAUUCCACAACAAUUUAACAUAAUAACAAAACUUGGGCUAUUUCAAAGACGCAAAUUUUACUUAAAAACAAACAAACAUAAUAGACUAAAUUGAUCACCAAACACAGAAAAAGUUACAAGGGACUCACAAGAAGGCUGGAGAAGGAUCCAAGAAAAAUGACCCGGAACCGACCCAAAUAAGAAUCUGACAGAAAAGCACCAAAGAGGCCAAACCAUUGGACAGAGCAGACCAGAUAAAGAGUAUACUUGAAGCAGUGACAGUUUGAAAAUGAUAGAUUCUUGUCAAGUAGAGUAUCAUGUUUGGCAUUAGCCCCUGGCUUGCCACCCUCUCAAAUGCUUCAUUCACUGCAAAAUAGAUAAACCCAAAAAGGGUGAAAGAAAAAGAUCAAAACUUCAGUCCAAUAAAGAUAAAUGCAACUCCAAGAUAACAUGGGCUUGCUUACCUAUGAUAAAAGGCAUGGUUUUGAGACCUCCCUUUGUCCUUCUUGGUGGAGAAUGACCAAGUAAACUCUCUUCUUCUGGAUUGAUGUCCAUCUCCUCUGCUUCCAUCAACAGUUUCUUUGCAGAGUAGAACUAGACUAUUGUGUUAGUUUUCUUUUUGGUGUCAAGUAUACUGUGCCAGUUGAAGUAAAGACUUUCAUCAAAACAAGAUACUUCUCAAAGGAGGACUUUUAGCUUGUCUCUUCCAUGGUCAGAAAGCAAGAAGUGAAGAAACAGGUAUGAAAAUAACGGAAUUUUAAAUGUAGCAACAAGUUUGACUUUUUCUUCUUUUUUGUUUUUGGUGUUGGGGUUGGGGGAAGCGGGGGAUUGGUUUUCUUUGUUACUGUAGCAGUUUUCUAAGUAAAUGUAAGAUGGAAAAUCUGCUGAGAGGCAUGUUUGUGCUCUUCUAGUUCUAAUUCUAAAACUUCUUUUAAGUCCAAAAAAAAUUGAAUGAGAAUUUGGGGGUCUAUAUGUUAUUAAAAUAAUUAGAGGGGAAUUUUCUGCAAUUACGUUGAAUAUAAGGGGAGCUAUGUGAAAUUGUCUCUAGUGUAUGUAGCGCAGAAAUGAGCAUAUGUGAUCGCAAUCAAUCAAAUUUUGUCAUCAAUUUGGCCUUGGGUGCAAAAAAAAACAAUUUGCUGGAAUGGCUUAAAUCAGAGGCUAUGCAAUUAUUGUGACUGAAAUCAAAUUAUUGAAACACUUAUAAUUAUGCGAAAAGGUGAGUUUAAUGCAAACAAAUACAAAGAAUACACACUAAAGAAAUAAAUGGAUAAUGAACAAUAAUCAAAAUUUUUUACAAGGAAAAAGGUAUCCAAAUGUGUUUGGAUGAUAGAUUAUUUGGGAUAAUUUUUUGAAAAAAAAAAAUACUUUAACACUUUUUUUUUUAAUGUGAUGUAUGUAAGAUAAAAUGGUGGCUAAAAAAUGUGUUAAUGAUGCAAACAAAUAAAUUUUUGAAAAUAAUUCACAAUCAAACAAACUUGAACUUCGUUAUUUUAAAAAUAUUUUUUGAUUGCAUUAUUGACAUUUUUUAAUUAUUUUUUAUUUUUAAUCAAAUUUAUAUUUUACGUACAUCAAAUCACAAAAACUACUACAACAUUAUUUUAAAAUUUUCUACAAAUAAUCUGCUAUCGAACCACACGUGAUAUUGUGUAAAAACAUUUUAUAAGUUGAUAACCAAUUCAUCUUUCCAAAUUAAUUUUUGAGCCAGAAAUGGCCAAAAUUUAACGUGCAAUAUUUCUUGCACCUUGUUCUUGGAUUGGCAGCACUGCCAUGGUCGAAUCCCUGCUCCAUUUUGCAAGAGACAUGACUUCAUUGUGUUUAAAUUUGUGGAAAUUUAAAUUCCACAUCUCAAAUACCUAAUGUUCUCAACUGGUUAAAUAUAAGAUACAUUGGUGAAAUAAAUGUAUAAAAUUAUCUCAUACUGAUAAAAUCUCUUUCUUUUAGCAGUGGUAAUUUCAAUUUAUACGUUUUGGCAGUGGUGUACAAGUUAAUUAAAAUGGAAAGUCUAUGAGAAAUGAACAAAAAACUCUAACGAAUACAUAGGGAGCAAAAUAUGAGCAACAAGGAAUUUAGAUAUUGAAAAUAUCCCCCGUCUUACAACUUACAAUGUCAAGGAUCAAAGGCUCAAACGAUUAUAAUUAAGCCGGGAUUGUUUAGUAUAAUUUAUUGAAAUAAUUAUAUAUAUAUAAUAUAUAUAUAUAUAUAUAUAUAUUCCCUUUUAACCACACUUAAAACCCAACUUAUAAUUUGGAAUCACAAUCUUAUUAUUGCACAAAAAACAAAAAUCACUUUUGGCCAAUCUUGAUGCUACUCCACGUAUCUUCUUGAUGAUGUGGUAUAUAACUUAUAUGAGACCACAUAUAAUAAAUGAUUAAAAUAAAACCUAUUAAUCAUAGAUGAUGUAUAACUUACAACAUAUAAUAAAUUAAAUAAAACAUAUAAGACCUAUUCAAUAUGUGGCUUGUUACUUACAUGAAAUGACACACAAUAAAUGACUAAAAUAAGACCUAUUACUUGACUAAAUAUUCCUAUUCAAUAUGUGGCUUGUUACUUACAUGAAGUGACACACAAUAAAUGACUAAAAUAAGACCUAUUACUUGACUAAAUAUUAGGAGAUGAUCUAUCACUUUUGGCCAAUCUUGACCCUAUACUACUACGUAUCUUGUUGAUGAUGUGGUGUAUAAAUUAUAUGAGACGGUAUAUAAUAAAUGAUUAAAAUAAGACCUAUUAAUUAUGUGAUGUAUGACUUACAACAUAUAAUAAAUUGAAUAAAAUGAGACAGAGAGUGACACAGGGCGUGGGACAGAAGAUUCAUUGCGAGUUUCAACUCACAACUAAUUACCAGGGGUGUGCAUUUGCCUCAUUCUUGAAGGUUGAAUGCUCGAGUUCUUUAACGGGGUCACUUGCUCAUAUAACUCAAAUUAGGGACUGUUCAAGUAGACAUCAAGAGAAGAACCCUGUAAAUUCCUAGAUCUUUGCCCGGUCAUUCGAUCGAAUCACACACGUAAAAUUGUAUCUCUAUUUUUAUUUUCUCUUUGCUUUGUUACAGAUCGAAUCUCCUCUGGGUUUGGAGAGCUCUUGCUAACUUUGUUAAAAUCUCCGUUACAAACCGCUAGAGGCUUUGCAACAAUGAGGAACAACAAAGGCUGGUGUCGAGAAAUUCGAUCGCGCUCGUAGUGUUAACUUGGAGAUGUGACAGCCCUAGACGAGAAGCACGUCAUGCAGAAAAGAGCUUUGAUACAGCACCGCAAGGAGAGGAGAAAAGCUAGUAAAGAUGGCAGAUCAAAUUUUGUUUCAUAUGUACGACUUCCAUAUGAAACCAGUUUCGAUCGUCAAGAUGUCUUGACACUCCAGUGGGAAGCUUCUUCUUCAUUGAAUUUUAUUUUCUAACGCAAGGAAACUUCUUCAUCAUUAACAUUGCCUUCCUCCCCUCUACAAGGUCCAUAGGUCCAACAGCAGAUCAGGAAGAAAAAGAAGUUUGCCAAACUUAAACCAGAAAGAACCCAAAAAUAAUAAUCAUAAUGACCCUUGUUAAUGUUGGUAGAAAUCCAGCUCUCCCCGCCACCUCUUUUUGUAAAAUCAUCAAUAGCACUCAUUAUAAAACUUGCUACCAAACAUCCUAGAGAAAUUCCAACUCCACAGAGAGUAGAAGCCAUACUUGACAUGCUUCUGGGGAGUUCUGAAAUGAAAAACUCAUUCUGCGCGAUAGCACUCAAACCCAGAGUCAAUCCUAUCAGGCAAUAUUGGGGCAAAAGCCAUAGAGCUGACAUGUGCACUAUUGCCUCUGGAUCAUCUGAAAUUCCUUCCUUAAAUGCAAGACUAAGACGAAUACAUUCCACGGUUGCUGUUACAACCACGGAGAGAAAGGAGAUAAACGUUCCAAUUCCCAUUCUUUGUCUUGCAGUGAGGUAAACAGGUUUCCCCUUGAUUCUUGCUGCUAUCGGCAGAAGCACUUGAUCAUAAAAAGCAACCCAGAGUAUCAUAGAAAUGAUAUUAAAUAUACCAAAAGAACCUGCUGGAAUUUCGAAAUUCCCUAUGAUCUUGCGAUCCAUGGAACUUGCUUGAAGUACCGAAAAAGAGGUCUGGUUAAUAUUGAUAAAUGUCACUAUUCCUGACAACCAUAUUGGGAUCACCUUAAGUAGUGCUUUCAGAUCCUCUACCUGAUCCACUGUGCAAAGAUUCCAGGGGUUCUUAGCUCUUCCAUCAGGGGUAAGAUCUUGCUCGGGAUCGUGGAUUAUGCAAGCUUUGUUUAGAAACCUAACAAACAAAAUUCAGGUUAGUUUCAGAAACAGCCCACAGUACUAUGUUUAUAAACAUGUAUUUGAAUGAAAUAGUGAGUGACAAAAAGUUCUCACCUCAUCUUUUCACUAGGAAAAACCAGCAUUGAGCCGUUCUUGUGAUGGUACAACAUCUCGGUACUGCUACUCGAUAAUAACUUGCGAGAUUUAUUUUUAUAAGAGGCUACAAUCACUUGAACAAGUUCAGUGAAUAAGGUUACUUUAGCCUUUACCUUGAUGUAGAUGGGGGAAGCCAGAAAAAACAGAAAAGCUGCAAAAAACAUAACCACCACUGAAGCUCCAAAACCAAUUUGCCACCCCAUUUGAUCUUGAAUGUACACCAUACAGGUCAAAGCAAGGACAAGAGAUAACGAAUACGACACAUAAUACCAGCUAAAAUAUCUCUGUAACAAGACUGCAUCUUUCUUUCCAUCUCUUUUCUCGAAUUGAUCUGCACCAAAGGCCAAGGAAGCAGACCUGAUGCCUCCAGCUCCAACGGAUAGGAGAAUAAAGGAUGUGAAUAGCAUAAAGAGUUGGAAAGAUGUUGCUGAGGUGCAACUGUUGCUGGAUUCAUUACAUGGAGGAGGCCUUGCUUGGGGAAUCAUAGUUGUCAACCACAAAACAAUAGUCCCCUUCAAGGUAAAAUUUUUAUGUCAGAAUCAUUUAGAACCAAGAGGAAUCAGAUAAUCCUGCAACAUCAAUUUGGCUCUUUUCCCUCACAAAAUUAAUCUUCGUCUAGUAAUUUGUUCAUUGAGGACAAUUUAACAAUGCAUUAAUCAUUGCUAAUCGAUGUGAUUACAGUGUUAAGACGUUGGUGCAAGAGUCAGAAGUUAACUAAGCAUUCCAAAUAGGGAAUAGCCGAUUUACUGUAACUUACUGGCUCUUAAAAACACCAAGUUAGGAAACACUUCAAGAUUGUCCAAGACCAAUCGUAACAACUAUUUAUGGAGCGUUGGUGGAGGAGAGAAGUGGGAUGCAAAAACAAUCUUCCAGAAAAAGUAUGCUCACGAGCAAGUGCAAAAAUGUUCUCGAGGUUGAUGUUCUAGGAAUUGGAAAUCUGAAUCCAAAUUCCCCCUUCCCCCUCCCAACUUCUUAAAUCUCAUCUUUUCCCUAUUGAAAAAAAAAAAAAAAAAAAAAAGUGCAUAAAUGUACUCAUCUACAGAAGGCAUCCCGGCACUGAAAAUUUUGAAGAAAUUCUGCUUUUGAUUUAAUUUAACUCAAUGUAGAUACUUGGACAUGGACCUGGAAAUUGAAGAUUCCUUGGACAUUAAUCUUAUCUUUUUGUCCUUGGACAUUACCAGCAAGACAAGAAACUUGUGACUCGGACAUUGGGAAUUUAUAAAUUAGGAAAACAUUUUGCUGAAAAAUGAUAAGAAAACCUUUCGGUCAAUCUACAUAGCCUUGAAGGACAUUAUAAUGAUAAGAAAACUUUAAUGAUACUAGAAAAUGUAGACUUGAAAAAUGGAAAACUUUUACUUUCUCCACCUAAUUUGACCUCAUCUCAUUUAAACUUUCAUGAACAGCUGAAAUUUCAAGUUGCUGCGCCAAAAAAAUGGGGGUGUUUUUGCCAUAAUGGAUAAAUGUACUUUGAUGUGUUGGUGAGGAUAUUUUCAUUGACCAUGGUGUUAGAUAUGAGGACUUUGAUUGCAACAACAUUCUUAAUUUUGAGGACUAGAUUCAUACCAACUUAAGACCAAGGACUUAAUUAAGACCUUUUUCUUACUUUAUCUGGACGAAAAAUCAUAUUCACCCCCGUCAAAUCAAAAGUGUCGUAGGUAUUGACAAACCAGUCUCAAGGAUAGUGGCCAUUUGUUCAUAAAAUAAAUAAACAGAGAGAUAAUCCGUCACCAUCUUUCUUGAUAAUUCCCUUAGGUCAUCAAUUACUACCGUUGUAUCAAUUGAAGAAUAUUGGAAUAUACCAACUCUGCAAAGAACAGUAGAGCAUCAGCAGCCAUAGAACUGGGGGGAUUUAAAAGUUUAGAAUAUCAAAUGUUUUUUUUUUAUUCAGAACAUGCUCCGACUCGAGCAACUUAGGACUGAACCGACACAUCAAAUUAGGGAUAUGCCGUGACCCCCCAUAACGCACCUAUGUUAGACAGGGGAUUUAAAUUUAGGGAAGGAUUCAAAUUCAGAACCCACUCAGUCCAAGAGCCUGCUUUACUGCUAGACUAUCCGGGGGCUAGAACUUAAAAUGCAUGACAACUAUUCCCUCUUUCUUCUUGUUUGUCUGAAAUUUGACUGAAAAUUAACUGCAAUCACCAACAAUAAUAAUGAGCAAAUGGGAGCAUUUCUGAGUCAGUUGAUGCAAGUGAAGAAUAUGUACCAGAAAGCUAAUAACGCAUCCAAAUCCGAUCAUAUGGAACCGACCAACAUAAGCAUCUGCAACAAUUGCUCCAAGAACUGGCGUGAAAUUGUUAGCUGCAGACAAGUAAAAGAGGAUAUUUGAUGCAGUUGCCAUCUCCAUAUGAUAUUCCUUCAACAAAUACAGAGUCAUGUUUGGCGAUACCCCAUAAGUUGCCACCUUCUCAAGCACCGAAUUUGCUGCAAAAACAGAGAGUUCAAACUCAAAGAAGAAAUUACUGAACAACUGCGGGGGAAAAAAAACCGUAUUCGUAAAUUUAAAUAGUAAGUGCAUAACAAGUGGGCACCAACUUUGUAGUAAUAUAGGUCUGUACUACCUAUGAUGAAUGGCAUGGUUCCAGAACCACCUUUUGGUGAUGCGGUGCUCAGGAGAGGCUCUUUGACCAUAUCUUUCUUUUCUUCUAAUGGUCUCUUCAUUUUUCGUGCCUUUCGAGCUCUGAUCAAGCAGGAGCGUAUGAGGUAUUUUUACGGCUCUAAAUUAUAAGCCCAGAAACAAAAACAUGUUAAGCUCUUAUUGUAGAGAAGUUCCGCUAGACUUUGGACAAAAACUGGCCGCAAAAGGUCCGUGAGUGAUGUGAUUUUCACUUCGAAAAAAUGGCCGUAAAACUACAUUCCAUGUCCCACCGUUUGUGUCAUGUGGCGAUGGGUAGGAAGUUUCCUGCUCGUGUCGUGUGGUUUCAUCGUGCAACUGUGGAAAAAGUUUAAUCCGGAUCCGACUCAUAGUGAUGGGUUUACUCGACUCAACGAGCUAAAACUUGCUGAACAUUUUACACUUUAAUACCAUUGUAAUAUGAGCUGAUAAACACAUAUCCCACUUAUGCUUGCUAUUGAAAAGUUUUAAAUCACAAACCAUAUAAUUUAGUCUUUAAAUUUAAAGCAUAAAAAUAAAGUCCAAAACUUCAACUCUAGUUUCUAAUGAAAACAAGAUUUAAUAUUUAAGUACAGUAAUACAUAAUAAAAAUAACGACAAAUGAUAUUUGCACUCCAAUAAAAACCUCCCGCACUUAAACCAUUGUUUUAUAGUUCUUGAAUUUCGAAAAUACCCUCUAUAAUCUAUUUCUCAUGUCAUUUCUUCUCCAACUUGUUCAUGUUCCAAAUUCAUACUAAAAUUAAAAUCAUCUUUCUUUAUCAACUCAACACAUUCUUCUUCCUCAAAAAAAAAAAAAAAAAAAAAAAUUUUGCUCAACACAUUCUUCUACCUCAAUUGGUCUCUUUUCUUAACUGUGAUUUCGUAGUGUCACUUAAAAUUGAAACCAACCACUACUCCUAAAUUUUAAUUGAGUCUUAGAUGCAUCCAGCUAUCACAAAGAAAACCUCCAAUUAUGGUGUAGAGUAUCACUUCUACAAACAAACAUGAUCAAACUCAACAAAAAUCAAUCUCGUGAUACAUAAAAUAUAUUUAAAUAUUUAGUUGAUCAUUUAAAUAGGUCCGAGUCCGGGUUGGAUAAACGAAACCAUAUCUAUAUCCAUACUCGAGAAAAAAUAACGUGUCAGGGCCAGGUCUGGGUCAUUGACAGGCCUAAAAUUAAAGGACAUCAUAGUAACAACAAAAUUCCUGUUAUUAUUUCACCAAAAAUGCAAUGUUUUUAAACCCGGACCGAAGAGUGAACCAGAGAACCUUCCGGUUCAAGGUUCGAUCCCGGUUCAAAGGUUUAAUAAUUUUUUAUUCAUUUUAGUAUUAAAAAUUUUGAAUAAAACUAAAAUAUUUAUUUUAGAAAAUAAAUACUUAAUAAAAACCUGUUGAACCUCCCAGUUUUUAUCGUUUUCACCGGUUCUUGACCGGUUUUGAUCGGUUAAAUUGAUUCUUUGGAUUUUUAAUUGAACCGGACUGGCAUGGCCGGUUUGCAGUUCAACCGACCAGCCCGGUCCGAUUUUCAAAACAUUGCAAAAAUGUACACAAAGGGGUGAUAUUUUGACUUACUUUUUAAAUAUGUUGAGACUAUUACACUCAUAGAGGAAUGUGUGUGUUUGAUGGGAUAUUUGAUGCUUGUAAAUUAAUGCCUAAGAUCUAAUCGGAACAACUAGAGUCAGCCAGAUUAAAUAUAACAUCACGAUCUAGAGAAUGACACCAAAUUAGAGAAGUUUGUGCAAAUAAAGCACAGGAAUUCCAAAAAAUAAACAGUGCAAGGUCAUGAUGUUGACAACAAAUUGAUGGUGAAAUCCCCUCCUUCCCAGAAUCCCAGGGAGACGACGACCUGCUUAGAAAACAGAUGCUGCUAGCUUUGCCUUUUUUAUACCCUUGUAAUAACUGAAUAGGACCGAUCAAAGUAACAUUCCAGAGAAAAUGAUAGGGCAUUAGACCAAAAGAAAAGGAAAUGAUAUAUGAAGGACACAAUUAGCAAGUAGUAUUUCUAAAUGCAAGUACCAAAUAAUUACCAGAAGGCUAACAACAGAGCCAAAUUUGAUCAUAGGAAAUCGAUCCACAUAAGAAUCUGCAAUAAUUGCUCCAAGAACAGGCAUGAAAUUGGUAGCUGCUGUCCAGUAAAUAUUGGAUGUACAGGCCAUCUGAAUUUGAUACUGUUUCACACUUUCACCAAAUACAGAGUCAUGUUUGGCGUUAGCCCAUAACUUAACAAACACAAAGGGGGAAAAAACAACCAAGAAAACAGUAAUUGAAAAACUGCAUAAAGAAACUGAUGAUAUUAUUGCAUACAAAAAGAUAGGCAGAUAAAUCUUUUUACAUUCUGGUGUACCUCUGAUAAAUGGCAUGGUUCUGAAACCACCCUUCGGUGGUGAAGCAUUCAAUAGACGCUCUUUGGCCAAUUCUUUCUUUCACCUAGUGAACUCUCCAUUUUUUCGACUGCUUCUGACUUCUGUUCAAUCUUAGUAUCAAUCUUCUAUCAAGUUUUUAACCCACAAGAAUGAUACUAGUACCAUAAUAAGCGACUUAUAAAGAAGGGGAAAAAAAGGAGAAAAGCUGGAGCUCCCCUGAAUUCUGGACAAAAAAGCCACGUAAAGAUCUUGAAUUAUGUGAUGUUUUCUCUAUCAAAUUCUGCAUUCUACUAGUAAUAUUCAGUGUUCUACUGAUUCAUCCAUCUUGAAGAAGCAGAAAUAGUUAGUAGAAGUUGCUGUGUCUUCUUAGCAUGUGGGGAACUGAGAGGCGUGGCACGCUGGGAAAAGAGGCCAAGCUACGUUUGUUUCUUAUUUGGAUAAAUUGCCUUUUACCCCCUAUAGUUUGGUACUUUACCACAUAACCUCCUAUUAUUUAAAAAUCGACAUAACCCUUUUAUGAUUUGGGUUAAAGUAUCAUCAUUAGUUUUUUUCGUUAAAAGUAAUGGUCAAUAAUAAAAAGUGAAAAUCAAACUAAUAAAUUAACAAAUUUAUCCUUUCACUACUUCUUGUUUUCCUCCAAACAUAAAAAAGAAGAAAUUGAAGUAAAAAAUAGAUAAAUAAGAACUAGAAAAUACCAUUAAGAUUUAGUUUAAAAACCUAUAAUGUUAUUUGUAGUAAAAAAAUUUUGAUAUUUUUGUUUCUGAUUUAUUUAUUGUAUAUUUCCCUUCCAUCUUUUUCAUUUUUUAUUUAUUUAUUUUUUUCCUUCCAUUUAUUUUGUAUUUGGAGAAAAUUAAGAUUUUGUAGGCCAAAGUAUAGGUUUUCAAAAUUAUCUCUUCUCCCAAAAAAAGAAGAGAGAGAGAGAGAGAGAGAGAGAGAGAGAGAGAAGAAAAAAGAAAAAGUAGUGAAAAUGUGAAUUUGUUAGUUUGUUUGUUUGACUUUAACUUUUUACUAUUGAUUGUUAGUUUUAACAGAAAAAUUAAUAGUAGCACUUUAACCUAUACCAUGAAAGGGUUAUAUAUAGGUUUUUAAACCACAUGGGGGUAUGUGGUAAAAUAUGAAACUAUAGGGGUAAAAGGUAAUUUAUCCUUUUUGCAUUUUCAUUUGGCACGCAAUGAAGAUUUUCUUUUGACUUUGGAAAAGUUUUGGUGUUUUGCUUCCGUUAAUUAUGCUUAAAUUCUUACGAGAAGGGAAAAAUACAUGUGUUGUUUUCACUUGGAAGAGAGUUACAGGUCUUCCUAUUGCAAAUUAUAUUCUCCUUUAACCAUGAACUUUUAUAAUAGGGAUAAUUUCGAAAACCUCCCCUGAGGUUUCAUGAAUUAUCACUUAGCCCUCUUGAGGUUUUCAAAAUCUCACUUAGCACCCCUCGAAUUGACAUUUUGGUAGCAUUAUCACCCUUCUAACCAAAAGUCAUAUUAAAAAAUUCAUGUUUGAGGAGAGAGAUUAUUUUAGUGCCUUUAAUACCCUUAGGCUAUAGAAAAAUGAACAUUUUACAAACCAAGGGAAAAAAAAGUACUAAAUUGGAACCAUCUUAAAAAUGAGAGGAUGAAAAUUGAUAAGAUUUUAUGUUACAGCCGAUAAUCAUUUCUAUAGUAGAGAGAGAUAGUAAAAGCAAAUAUUUUUUAAACCAUUUUUAUAAGUAAAACCCUCCAUAGCAUUGAAGGCAAUUAGCAUGUAAAAAAUCAUACAUUUGAGCCAAAAAAAACUCAACAAUAGAUGAAAUUCAACUUUAAUAUCAUACAAAGAAUUUACUUAAAAUAGACCGACUUUUUUAUGGGAGUGAAAUAUGAAAAUUUUAUUAUAAAAAAUUCAGAAUUUGAAAAACUGCAAUCGGAGUUUUGGUUACUUUAUUUCUCUUGCGCUCUACAUGAAUAGGAACAAAUAAAUAAAUAAAGUUGUGAAACACAAAAAAAAAAGGGAAAAAAAAGAACCUCCAACUAUUUUUCUCCAAAUGCGCUGAAUGUUUCAUUGAUUAAAUCCUAUAUUUCAUUAACAUUUAGAGAAAGAAAAACAAGUUCAGAAAAUUUAAAUAUGAGGGUAUUAUUGACAAUUCAUCACCUUUGAUAUUAGCAUAUGGCCCUACUAUCACUUCAAGGGUGAUAGGUGAGAUUUUGAAAAGUUCAGAAGAGCUAUGUGAUAUUUCAUGAAACCUCAAGGAAGGAUGUAUAAGAUCACUUUUGGUCAAUCUUGAUCCUACUCCACAUAUCUUCUUGAAAUCAAGAAUACAAUAAUUUAACAAGAAACAAGCACAAGCAUGAAUACCUCUACCUAUUUAUAAGUUACAUUACUCGACUAAUACCUAAUAAGUAAUAAUAGGAAAUAAUUACUAAUUCUUAAUCUUAUAUAAAAUAAAAAAUAACUCCUAAUUCCUAAAUUCAUAUAAAUAAGAAAAUAAUUAAAAAGCUAGUUACUUACAUGCAAAAUAAGAAGAAACUUGUCUAAAGAGAUAAAACCAAUUUCCUAACAACUUGUCACUCGCUUUACAUAUUCAAAUGCUCGCAAGUCACUUCUUGUCUGCGUCUUUCUUCUUCUUUGUCGCUUCACUUUCUUUCAAGGACAAAAUGAUCCUACGUUGGAAAAACACUUGCGAAUCUUAUGUAACUUUUUGUCUUGCGUAGAUGAAUCACUUUUACUGUAUAUUAAAUUUGCAUUCCGAUUUCUUCAUAUGCUAAGGUAACUUGUGGACUUUCACAAACUAUGAAUUAUUAUAAUUUGAUAAGUCUUGACGUUGUAAAAGUACAAGUAACGUAAAACCUAAAGAUUUCUAACUCAAAUCGAUAGUCUGAAGGGAACAGAUUCAAACUUAUUCAUGUAAGUUAAAUAUAGGGUGACGAUACUUACACACCCCAUCCCAUGAAUAUCUACUAGACCAAACGACAAGCAUUAAUAGUAGGAAAAUGGAGGUGUACAAGGAACCAAACAUUAUCGUUAAAUUUGUUCACAAUUAUAUUGUAAGUUCCAUGAAAGAUAUGAUUAGUUUGUACAAACAAAUAUAUAAUUAAAAAUUAAAAAUCCAUUUUCCUAUAUAAUGGUCAGUCUAGCAGCUCGUUAGUCUCAUCCCUGAUCAGUAAUUCUCCUGCUUUUUCUCUCACAGUUGCUCCCAAAACUAUUCAAAAACAUGAGUGCAUAGUGAAGAUGGCGGCCAUGAUGAAAAUUUUGCUUCUUUCUGUUGUUAUCAUCUUUGCCCACAUCCCGGAAGAAGCAGAUAGUACAUUGCACGCAAAGACACAAGAAUUGAUCAAUUGAGCUAACAAAUUAGGACCUUAUUGAGGUUUGGUAAUUCUAAAUCUACUUGAAACGGAUCCACUACGUACAUAAACAUCCAAGUUUCAUUCUUAGUGAGCACAUUAUAUGCCAUCGUCAUGCAAGUAAAAAAAUUCUGACAAAUCAGAAGCAUUCUGGGCAACCUUCAUGAAGAUAUACUCAAACAAUAAGUUGAUAAUUAAUUUUUAUUUUAAAUCUUAGCCUAAAGGAAAUUAAGUGUGUGCUAACACAAUCGAACAGAGUGUGCAGUGCAUGAUUUGAGAUGUAAACAGGAAAUGGUCAAAUAGGAUAUGAAAUGGGAAUAUGGAGUAAUAAUCUUCCUCCUAUAUUAUUUAUUAUAUUACUAAACCUUGAGCGUACAUAUAUUGUCUAAUCAUCCCUCGUCUACCCAGUCACUAUUUAGCAUGCAGUAUUGACAAUUUACUCAACUGCAAAACGACAAGCUUAAUAAUGCUAAAGUUAUGGUCUUCACACGAACCAUUAACUUCGGGAAUAAUGCGAAGUUUUUCUUUACCCCAAAAUUAAGAAAAGAAAGAGCCUAUAUUUUCAGAUUCGGAUCGGGCAUCAACUCAAUCAAGUUUAAGGAUAAGGGGUCAAUGGGUUCGAUCGAAAUUGAAUAGGAUGAUGUCAUAAAUAAAAAUUAUUUAAAAAUUAAAUAUUGUAUGUAAAAUACUUAAGAAUAUGUUAAUAUUAACAAAUAUAUAUAUAUUCAUACAUAUUUGAUGUUUCAAAUAUAUUUAAUAAGAAAAUAUAAAGAAAUUAAAAUGAUCAAGUAGCAAUUUAUAUUAUUAAAUAAACAUUAACAAGUUUAGAAUUAAAAUUAUGAAUUUGAUUGAAAAAUAACACCAAACUUUAGGACAACAUUUAUAAAGUAUGAAAUAUUUGAGAUAUAUUAAUAAUUUUUAGCAACCUAGAGGCCAAAACAUAAUAUUGAAUAUGCUUUGACCUUUAAAAAAAAAUCUUGACAUCCAAAAUUCGGUUCAUCCGGUUUGCUGGUCAAACCCGCGUUUUUGAUCGAGUUUGAACGAAUUUUUUAUACAUCUGAUUUUUUAGAGUAAUUCAGACUGGACACUUGACCGAUUUCCAAUUCGACCAGUCAGACCACCCUAUCUGAUCCGAGUUUAAAAACACAGGAAAGAGCAGCACAUACAAAGUGAAAAUUUCUAAAUAAUAAGUCACAUGUGGAUCCAUAAAGAUAGACUUCCUUUUCUCCCAAAGGUAGUAAUGAAACUCAAAUGGAGAUUUUUUUUUAAAUUAUUUUUUAUGAGAAUCUCAAUUCUUGUUAUCUUUUCCUCCGUUAGUUAAUUGAAACUUUUAUCAACUAGGGGAAACAAUGUAAGCUUAUGCAAUUAGCUAGUUAGCUAAACUCUAAUACAUAUCUUUAUUAAUUUUACUCGUUUUUGGACCUUUAUAGUAGACCAAGUUUGUCUGAAAUAAAUAUGUUUGAAACCAAUUUCAAGGGUGCCUUUCAUAGUUAUUAGGGCACUUUCCGACUUGGCGGGGGUGGCACUGCUCAAUCUAAUGAGGCUGCUACUUACACUUCUCUUGCUGCUAAUAAUGCUUUCAAAGUUGUGGUGGAAUUCAUCAAGAUUUUACAGUUUUUCCAUGGCCUCUUUCAGAAGUUGAAAAAUGAUCAGGAGUGACAAAUUCUUGAAAUAGAUUUAUGUCAGCAAAGGAAUUUAGAUACAUGUAAAGCUAGCUGAAUCUCAUCCCUUUCCUUUUUCCUCUUUUCACGAGGAAAAAAUAUUUGUACUCGAUGAAUAAAAUUUGCCUGCAUUUCUACGUGAAAUUUUUUAAUUUCCAAAUCAAUUAUGAAAUUCAGCACUUAAGAUCCAGUUCUAAUCUUGAAUCUUAAGACCUCCCAAAUGUCCUUUGUCCCUUUUGACCUACACAACUUUUCUCUAAAGACCUUAAGCUCCUAUGUGAAACUCGGAAUUUAGUUUAAAAAAAAAAACUAAAGCUAUAGGAAAAUCGUACUCCUGUGAAUGGUGUUUACUCAAAAAUAAAAAGGGAAAAGAAAAAAUGAGAAUGAAAGUCAAGUACAAGCAAAAACAAGAAACAACUACAUCAAGAACUUCAGAUUACUUGUCAAUUGCUUCGCCUUCAUCAUAUUUUAAGAUCCAGAAAACGAAGAGGACCAAUUCUCUUCUUCAUCAUAUUACUUAGCAUGUAUGAAGCUCUUUACAUACAUGCUAAGCCUUCAUAGCAGAUUAUAAAGAAAAUUAUCCACGAGCUAAGCGUCAUGACUAGGAGGCCUUUAUAGCUAAGAUGAAUUAUUUAAAAAUGUUGAAGUUAUUCAGAUGUCCAAAAUCUUAUAAAGAUGAACCUAAAAUCUUGAACUAAGAUAUGUGUCGAGACUCCAGCAGCCACCUAAUAAAAUAUCUCCACAUGGGUGUUUUAUAAUAUAUUAGUACGAGCCUUGAAUGGCACAGGAUAUUUAUGCUCAAUUAAUAAAAUGGUAGGAAUUGAAUAAAUGAAAGAUCAAAAAACUAUAGCACACAAAAAAAAAAAAAAGAAAGAGAGAAAAAGAAAGGAAUAACUAGGGUUGCAAACGAAUCGAGCCGCUCGCGAGGAGUCGAGUCAAAGCUCAAAUUGAGCUCGAGUCAAGCUCGAACUGGCCAAAUCGAAUUCGAGCUCGAGUUCGAACUCAAAAAUAUUAAGUUCGUUAGCUCAAGUAUAUAUAUAUAUAUAUAUAAUUUUUAUUUUAAUAGUGAAAUUAUAUAUAUGUCCUAAUAUUUAUUAUCGAUUAAGAAAAAUACUAUUUUAUUUAUUUUUUAAAAAUAUAAUAAUUAUUCGAAUUCGAGUCGAGCUCGAGCUCGACCUUUAAAUUGGCAGCUCAUCGAGUUCGAGCUAAAAACUAAGUCAAGAUUCGGCUUGAUUAGGCAAAAACUCAACUCGACUCACUAGACUCGUUUGCAACCUGGGAAUAACUAGUGACAAAGGCGCUCUCAAAAGUUUAAAAGUAUUUUUCAUAAAUUUAAUUUUGUCCUUGCUAAAAAUUGAAAAUGUUCUAUUUUUAUUCAAGUGUAAAUAUGUUAAAAUUAGCACCUUCAAAAUAAAUUUUAUCGGUCCAUCUACAGCCAGACAUUCCGGAGUCAUGGAGUCCACAGCUGCCGAACCCUGUCAUUAAGCAAGGCAAACUUGUUUAACUUGGGUUGAUUAUUCAUUUAACCUAUCAUGCAUAUACCCACACUAAUAAUUAUUACCUUCCUUUGCAUUUAUGUACUUUUCUUAAUUAAUCUUACCUUUCCAAAAACCUAACGCCUGAAAUUCAUCUUGACCAGUGUCCAAUACACACACGUUAAAUAAACCUUUAUUUAUUUAUCAUUUUAUUAUUAUUACUUUGUUCAAGGCGAGACUCUAAGCCUUACAAGAGAGACAGAGGAAGAUUUGAAAGUUGAACCAGAGACCUUAGGGUAACUGGCUGAUGCACUACUAGUUAAGUUGGAUUACGAAGAAAUGAGCAUCUCACAUUGUAGGCAUCAUGGAACGAGCAAAUUUAAGGCUUUUCCUCAAAAUGCAAAAGCAUAUAGUGUAUGGGUGUAAAGUCAUUUUAGAAAGUUCUGAUCAUUCCUUUUCUAGGGAAAAUUCCUAAUAAUUUCAGAUUGCAGAGAAUGUGCCAAUAUAUUGGAAUGCAAAAGGCUCAAUGCCCAUGUAAAAUCUCUUGAAUGGAAAAUAUAUUAGUCUGUAGUGUUGGUGAUACAAGGAAUUAGCAAAUUAAACAUCACCUUAGGUAAAAGAGUAGUAGUGUUCAACACAAAGGUGGUGCCAAUUGUGAAUGUGGACUUGCCAAAAACCAAAACAAUAGAAGCAGCUUAAGCAUCACCUUAGUGUAAAGCGAUGCUACCAUCCAACAUAAAGGUGGUGCAAAUUGUGAAAAAAUGGACUUAACAAACACAAGAAAAAAUUGAAUACGUUGUUUGCAAAAUGAUGUGCCAUACAGACUUCAAAGGCUCGCAUCCAAAGGUCUCUGGUUUUAUGCAUCUGUCACAGACUUCCUGUGCAUACGCAUGUGAGGAUAUGAAUGUACUUUACAAUAUACUAAAACUCCGAACCUUAUUAGUACUGCAAAAGCAAAUUGGCGCUGUAAUGUAUUUCAUGUCUCGUUUUAGUAUCCUUCCCCCCAACCCAAAGAGUUUAAGGUAAUACCCCUUGGUCCCCAAAAUCUUAUAAUUGUACCAAAUAGUCCUACAAUCCCCAAGCAUUUGUUUUCUAAUUUGCAAGCAUAAUUGUUUGCUAGCCACAUCUGCUCUAAUAGUUAAAUUGGGCAAAUCAAACUCAAAGGCUCGCAUCCAAAAUUAUCCAAAUAAGGAAUGUACGUGCAGAGUUUUAGGUACAACUCUUUUCUCAGAGUAACAGCAUAAGGAGCAGAAGUAAGCAACAGUAGUAGUGAUAAAGAUUAGGGAUAAUUGCAGAAACCUCCCCUGAGGUUUCUGACAUUUGCACUGACCUUCCCUGUGGUUUGAAAAAUUACACUAACCUCCCCUGAGGUUACUAAUCCUUUACAAAUUCAGUCCAAACGAUUAAAAUAUUGUUUUAGAGAGUGAAAUUCGAAUUUUGUACUAAAUCUGUCCUUUGUACUACACGCCCAAUGAAUGACAAAAUACUACAAAUCAAUUAACAAUUAAUAAACUUUAAGGAAUAUAGUUUAUAGGCAAAUAAGCAUUACCUAUUUAAAGUACCGGCUCUUUACGGGUAUUUUACUUUCACACAUUUAAUUUAAUACAACUAUUUACGCUCAAAUACAGAUUUGUAUUUACUUUCAAAUAAUUUUUGUUAAAUACAAAAACUACCAAUCUCUCUUCCGUAAGAAUAUUAAUAUAACACUUUUUCAAUUUUAGUUAUAACCAUUUAUGUAUUUAAUAUAAAUUAAAUGAUUUAGAAUAAAAUACCCAUAAAGCCAAUACUUUACUCAUGUAAUGGAUAAAAGUCAUAAAGAAUUAAUACUUUAUGAAUCAUUUCUUUUUUUAAAAAAUAUUUAAUUUAUAUUAAAUAAGUAACCUACCGAUUUCAUUUUUGCAAGAAUAUUACUGUAACACUUUUAAAUUUUACUUACAAACAUUGAUAUAUUAUCAUAAAUUAAAUGUUUGAAAAUAAAAUAUCCAUAAAAGAGCCGCACUUUAAAUGAAUAAUGCGUGUUUGCCCAUAAAGAGUCGGUAACUAUUUAAAGUACCGGCUCUUUACAGGUAUUUUACUUUAAACAUUUAAUUUAAUACAAAUAUUUACGCUCAAAUACAUAUUUGUAUUUAGUUUCAAAUAUUUAUUUUUAUUAAAUACAAAACCUACCUAUCUCUCUUCCGUAAAAAUAUUAAUAUAACAUUUUUUCAAUUUUAGUUACAAACAUUUAUGUAGUUAAUAUAAAUUAAAUGAUUCAGAAUAAAAUGCACAUAAAGAACGAAUACUUUACUUAUGUAAUGGAUGAAAGUCAUAAAGAAUUAAUAUUUUAUGGCCAUUUCUUUUUUUUUUAAAAAAAUAUUUAAUUUAUAUUAAAUAAAUAACCUACUGAUUUCCUUUUUGCAAGAAUAUUAUAACACUUUUGAAUUUUACUUACAAAUAUUGAUAUAUUUAUCAUAAAUUAAAUGUUUGAAAGUAAAAUACCCGUAAAGAGCGGUACUUUAAAUAAGUAAUGCGUAUUGCCCAUAAAUUAUACUCCUUAAAGUUUAUUAAUUGUUAAUUGAUUUAUAAUACUUUAUCAUUCAUUGGACAUGUAGCACAAAGAGAUAAAUCUGGUACAAAAUUCUAAUUUCACUCCUAAACAAUAUUUUAAUCGUUUGGACUAAAUUUGCAAAGGAUUAGUAACCUCAGGGGAGGUUAGUGUAAUUUUCCAAACUAUAGGGAGGUCAGUGCAAAUAUCAGAAACCUCAGGAGGUUUAUGCAAUAUCCCUAAAGAUUAUUUCACUACAUUCAGCAUAUUUAUUGCUAGAUUUGUUGUAAUCACUGCAGAUACAUAAAUUUAUAGCAGAGGGACAAUGGGUUUGUUUGAAUUGUAAUUUAUUUGGAAUAUUUUUACUAUAGCACUUUUUGUGACGUGAUGUAUGUGAGAUAAAAAGGUAAUGGAGAAGAUAAAAAGUGUAUUGAAAUUGUAAUAAUAAUGUAAGCAAAUAAAAUUGGGAAAAUAAUGCUCAAUCCAAACAAACCCACAUUAGUAUUAUAUAUUCAUCAAGCUGAAGGCAAAGGAGUAUAACCAGAUUCUUUUUCUGGUACUUUUUUAGACAGCAUGUUGCUGUUGUGAUGAGAUUUAUAGAACGGCAGCAAAAGAGAAAAUAGAAAAGGUUGAUUAAGUUUAAGAAGCCAAGCAGCCAAUAAUAGUAGUCAAGAUGACCUUCAUUCAGGUUGUUGGCCAACCAGCUUGCUUUACCACCAUGACUAGUAAUGCUAUUGAUAAUAUUCACCAGAAGACUUCCAAUCAGGCUAGCCAGAGCCAUCCCAAAUGUGUACAUAGCCACUCCAACACUGGACAUGCUCUUGGGGAACAGCAUGUAAAAGAACUGUAUCUGUCCAAUUGCGUUUAAAGCUUCAGCCAAUCCAAUGCAUACCGUCUGUGGCACUAACCACAUAGCAGACAUGUCCAGGACAGCAUCAGGAUCAUCCUCAACCCCUCCUCAACUGCUUUUUUCAGCCUUAUGCUCUCGACUACGCCUGCCAAUACCAUUGCGAUAAAUGACAUAACCAGCCCCAUGCCCAUCCGUACUAUGGGACUUAGUCCUUGCGGAUUACCAGUAUAUCUCGCCAAUAGCAGUGCUAGUACACGAUCAUAAAAUGCGACCCAAAUUGUUAAAGUAAUUAUCAUGAACAGACUAAAGGAUCCUGCAGGAAUUUCAAAAUUUGAGAAUUCAGGAACCCAACUUUGAUCCAAAAUCUUAAGCCAUUAGGUUUUAGCCCCUUACUUACAUAUUAAUGUUCUUUCUCCAUCUCUCGGAUCAAUGUGAACCUUUUACUCAUGAAUCUAACAAAUCUUCCCCUUCAUAAGUAAUCAUCACAUUAAAUCCAAAUUUACAAGCUUUUUUUCGAGCCUACUUUAAUAAUAAAUUCAAGCCCACCUUAUCACCUAAUAUCACCUUGUCAGGACUUGAGGACUAAAUUGCAAUUAGGCAAUAAAUAACAAUUUUUGUUAGUCUGUUAGAAGGUUGUUAGCAUUAAUGAGGUCAGGAGGUUAGUUAGAUUACAGAAUGAAGUAGCAGUGAUCGGUUAGCUCACUCUUAUAUAACGAGCUCAGAUUGUAAAAGGAAAACAAGUUGAUUGAUAACAAAUUGAUUCUCCUUUCUUUCUCGUUUCCUUUAUCUCUCUCUCAUUCUAUCUCCUUCCCCUUAUUCCCUCCCUUGUCUUGUUUUUCUCCUUCAACUGCUCCCUUGUAGAUUCUCAGAAUUCUACUUGAAUUCAUGACACACCUCUUCUCCCAAAUAUGGAUCCACUAUUUUUUAACAUCCAAACUGGAUUUUUUGGAUCUCUACCAAUCCUUGGCUCCAUCUCACACCAACCGAACCCCAGCCAAACCCAUAGCGCACCUGGUCCAACACUAACUAAACUCUUUAGCAUUUUGGUCCAUCACUAAAAAGAGAAUUUUUCACCAAUUCAACUCCGAAAAGGAUUCACUUGCCCAUAAAUAGCCCAAUCUCACAACUUAAAACUCUGAUACCGAUUUGAUAAAGGGAAACACCUAUCAAAUGAGAGUAUACCAAAGAGUCCAAUAUAUAAGUCAGGAAUCCAACUCUAAUCCAAAAUAUUAAAUUAUUAGAUCUUGGACCCUUACUUACAUAUUAACUGCUCUUUCUGCAUUUAUCGGACCAAUGUGGGACAUAACCCUUUACUCAUGAAUCUUAAUACCUUUGAAUCGAAAACAGCCCCUAAUCCAAAAAUUUUAAAACCAAGAAGUUCUUGUUUCCCCACGACCUUGUAAAUAUCCCUCCAAGAGAGACAAAACAGCACAAUCUGUCGGGGUAUAGCAUAUGUUAUCAUGAAAAUUAACUUUUUUUUUGUUCGUGGUUAAAUAAGGGAGGUGGAUGUGUUGGAAAACUUUGGAGGGUGGAUCUGUUGAGAUUUGAGAAGCAAAGCAAGCAGGUGAAAGGAUUAAGAAAUUUAAUGGUAAUCUCAAACUGCCGUGAUUUGUUGCAGGACUAAUAUUAAGGGGUGGUUUGAGGGAAGUUUCCUGACAAUAAAGAAUUAUGAUCAAGAAAUGCUUUGUUGCCGGAGUAGGAUUAAGAUGGGGCUUGCCAAACUCUUUCAAAUAUGCAUGAAUAUAUGCGAUUUAGAAGGGAAGAAUAUGCAAACUUGAGUUUGAUUGAUGGAUUUGACUGACACCCCAUAUCCUAAGAGACAUUUGCCAUCAAAAUAGAGGAGAUAACAGAACCUUUCUCUAAAGAAAUGAAUGGCAAAUCAAGUAGAAAAAGCAAAGAAAAGAGAUAAAUCAGAGCAUAACAUUUCGCAAUAUUAGAUUAAGAGGAGGUGACAGAGACAGCCUAAUUACAAACUACUAAAUGUCACAUAAGUACAUCAAUACAUUUUCAAUUUGCGUAUACAACAAGGGAAAUGGGCCGUUGCCUUUUUUCCAAUCAAUUGCAUGCAGCCAUCUAAUCCCUUUUUCCUCGUUAUACCAUCAAUAAUUGAAACUCAGAAAGCAAGCCAGCAGUUUAAAAAACAAUAAUUACCUUCAUCCACUAGAACUUUGCGAAAGAUCCAAAUACCGCUUCACCAAUUGUUAGUGUCUAAAUGCCUGCUCAUUUUUCAAGCCCAACCGUCUUGUACGUUGGAUCGGGCCGACUCACUGCUAGCUUGGGCUAUUGUUCCCUGUAUAAACAUUAGUAAUUCUAGCUUGGGAUUCAUUUUUCUUUUUUCUUUAUUAUAUUUUUCUGUAGUACCAAAAAAGAAAACUUUUUUCCGCUUGGUUUUGCUAAAAUCAGUCAAAUCUUGCUCAGAAGACACUUUUUCCCUGUUUCUGACAGAUUAAAGCCCUUGCAUAUUCAGGCAUCAAUAAUGCAUAUCAGCCCCACUGCACGUGAAUUUGCCAUCCAAAUUAUUACCGAUCCAUUCGAUAAAUUAAUUAAUUAGAGAGUAAAAAACAAAAAAAAAGCCAUUUGUGGUUAAGCAAAUAUACAGAAAAGUCUCCGUAGUUUCAAAACAUACAAUUUGACAUAUCGUUAUUGGAACUAAAUUAAAAAGGCAACGGAAAUCUUCAAAACUAACGUGUGUGUAAGCACACGGGCUUGUUUUGCAAAUAGUUGUAUAUGAAAAUAGUUUUUUUAUAAUUAAUUUUUAAUUGAUAUACCUAUUCCACCCCUGACGGAAAAAAUUUCAUGUAGUUAACUCAAGGAGAAAUAAUCAAACAACAAGGUGUUGGAUUGUACGUUUUGAAACCACGAGAAGAUUUCUUGUAUAUUCGCUUAAUCACAUGUGGUUUUUUUUUUCACCUUAAAUUAAACUCAUUCAUCUUUUUAUACCAUCGCAAGACCAAAAAAGAAAAAAAAUUAGUAGCUAGUUUUCUAGUCUAGGAAAGAAUUUACACAUUGGAGCACUUUGGAUAUGGUUUAAUGCUAAUUGAUUCGCAACAUUUGAGUAUUUUGGAAAUGAGAAAUAAUUUUUUUUUUCCGUGUGUUUUGCAAGUGAUUACAAGGGACUUCAAAUCCGGAUUUGUUUGUCAAUACGAAGUGUUCAAAUAUAACAUUGUGGUUAAUGUUAAUAGAAUUUCAUAAUGGAUCUUCUGUCCUAUUUUUUAUGUCAUUUUUCGUCUCACUUUUUAUUAUAUUACUAUUUUUCCUUCAUAAACGUCAUAUUUUAGUUCUUUUUUAUUUUCUAAAGAUCCAAUAACUAUUAAUUGGGUAAAACAAAUACGGCAAUUUAAAAAAAAUAAAAUUAAAAAAUAUAGCAGAGAAUUCAUUAAAAAUUUUCAUUUUUAUGCAUUUUGAUUUUUCUGAGUUUGUUAAAUUUUAUGUAUUACUUAAUUAGUAGUUAUUGGAUUUUUAGAAACAAAAAAGAAAUAAAAUAUUACGUUUAUAAAGGAAAAAAUAUCAAUAUAAUAAAAAGCGUAAUAGAAAAUGGCACAAGAAAUGAAAUAGAAGAUCUGUUGAGACAGAAUUCUAUGAAAGUUUUAGUCGGAAUAUGCAUCAUAAAAGAACAUAUAUCACCCUAUUAUGGUAGAGAUAACAGAGUGUUCUAAGACCCAAUAGAUUUUGAUAUAGGACAAUUUACAUUCACAUGUUCAACUCUUAAGAGUUCAAAUAUAAGUUUACUGCAUGAGCUUUGAAAAAAUUGCACCAAGUUACCAAAAGGUAUAGGGUGAAUAUUCUUAAUGCUAAAGUUUUGGAUACCUCAUGCAGAAAAGAAUAGCUUUUAAGAAAAAAAAAAAAAAAAAGAACAGGUAGUUUUAACUUUUAGUGUGAUCAGGAUUUAUAUAAGUCAAACAAUCCCUAUACCAAACUUAGAUUAUUGGAUAGUAUUAUACCAAUGUAUAUGCAACCUCAAAUAUGAAUUAAAAGACCAAGCAACAAUUAAAACUGUGCUAAAUUAACAGAUAACAAUGAGCUGAAAUUUUAUUUUAUUUUAUUUUUUAUCCAGUGUUCCAAUCUACAUAAGGAUCAAUACAAUUCUCCACCUUUUUUAUUUUGUGGUUAACCCCAAGGAUUAUUGCGACUACCAUAUUACCCCAAUAUCAUAGACUCAUAUUACAUUUUCCUAACCCACAAAAAAAAAAAGAAAAGAAAAACUCAUAGUGCAUAAUACGUACCCUCUACACUAAUACAGAUAUAUCAAGACCCUUAAAACCCUACCCAUCAAAAAGAGAGAAGUAAGUCAGGCAGGUCAAUGGGUCCAUUUUGACCAAAUUUGACAGAUGACCUUAAAGCCGUAAGAUUACUACCCUUUAGGACCGUUGAUCACCCGUCUUGAGUCAAAUCCAACCGUCCAUUUUCCUCCUGCAGAAUCUUCAGAAGUUGGGCCGCUUUUCUCCUGCCCCUAGCACUACAAUCACCUUGAAGAGCUAACAUUACCGCACGCGCCACCUCCUCAGGAGGCGCCACCACCGCCCCAUCAGUACAGCCACCAAAAAUCACCGCCAGGACACUAAUGGCAUACUCUUUACCUCUCCCCUCCAUCCUCCCCAUCACCUCCACCAUCAUCGGCACUGCAAGAGCGUGAGACCUCAGCUCCGCCGCCCCUUCCGCCACCGUGCAGAGCAACUCCAAUGCUGCCAACGACCUUUCUGCCACCGCACCCUCCAAAUCCGCCAUUGCGUCCACCACAACCCCAACUGCCCCGGCUUCGACUGCUGCAUGUCUGUUACCUUCGACCAAACAUAGCGCCAAUAAAACUUUACUGGCCGACUUAGCCAUGACCCUUUCUUUUAGGCAGCUCACCACCCAUUUCAUCACCGUAGCCGGGCAUGCCACCGCAUCUCCACCGUCCGCGACUGCGCGUGGGUUUGGAACGAGUGACUUUUCCAGCAAGUGUAGCGCGCCGAGCUUGUCUUCGUCGGAUCCAGAGCUGAAACGAAGCUCCGCAACGUGAAAAGUUUCUUCCAACUUGGUAGCAGAUAGUGGCGGCGGCGGCAGAGAAUCAGGCGCUUUUCUUGGUGGGGUGGGCUCCGAAAUCUUCGGCUUUUCUUGAGUUUGCUGAUACGGGUGGAUAAGAUGGUGAGAGAUGGGGGAGUUAGUCAGCGGGAACCUCCAUUGGGUGAAGCUCUGGGAGGUGUUUGAGGAAGAUGAGGAUGAUUCCGAAUCGGGUUUGGUCGGUGCAUGUGGUGGAUGAGAGGAAGAAGGUGGAGGAGGGAGAGGAGGAGGAGGUGGUGGUGGUGGUGGUGGUGGUGAUGUUGGUUUUGGCGGUGGCUGAUCAGAGGUGGCUGGGAAAGGGAGUGCUGGAGGAGUUGUGGUGGUCGGACUGAGCACUGUUUGAGUACAGUUGCGAAAAAACCCGCAAGAAAAAAGUGGACGCGGCGCAGUUUUUAGCUUGGGGUGUUGAGAUUUCAUUGUGGCAAUAAUAAUGCACGAAAACACUUCAACAGUAGUGCAAUUUGUGCAGCAAAAGAGACUUCAUAACAUCAUCAUAAAAAACAAAUAAAUAAACAAGCUGAUAAUCCUAAAACUCAGAUUUAUGUUGCUUUUACUGUGUGUUUUGUGAGUGUGACAGUGCGUGAGCCGUGGGAGUGAAUCUGCUUCUAUGAGUUGUUGGUUUCAGAGAGUAGUUUAGUGCUUUGGGGUCGUGAGGAGGGUCAUAGUUACCGACAUUUUAGUGAAGUUUGGGAGAUUUGAACUGUGAAAGUAUGAUUCUUUGGAUCAAUCCAUUUCAUCUUUGAUCACUUGGUUGAAAUGACAGCGUAUCUAACUAUCAACUUGGAUGUGGGGACUGAGGACAGAUUCAUACCAGCCUUCCCUGUCUCCUUCUGAGGACGUACCUACAUUAUUGAUCACACACAUUUGAGGAAUGUUAUGGUAUGAAAGAAUUACUCUUGGGUUCCUCUAUUUGCAUAUUCUUUCGACUUGGUUUGUCAAAUCUAUGAGAAUCUAAUUGCAUUUUGCAUGUACCUCAGUACCUCACUAACAAACUUGCAAAACAUUUUUGGGUCAAAAUAUUGGAUUUAAGAUCAAUGCAUGGUUGUCAUUUCCUUCUUUCUACUCCAAUUUUUGCCUUGAAUCCUACUAAAAGUACUGCAACCAUCACAUUUUCUAAACCAUGCAUAGGAUUUGUAAUUUAGAUCGUAAAUUUCCAAAUCAAUGGAAAGUAAGGUCUCAUUGAACAAUUUAAUAUAACUAUCAUGGUUGAUGUGAUAAUGAGUAAAAACUUAUCAAUUUACUAUAUCAUUUUCGAGUGUCCAAUUAACAUACCAAGAUUCUUAUUGUCAACUUUAUCAAGGGUGAGUCACAUUGUCAUGAACUGUCGCAUGAGUACUUGCUUAGUAAUUUGGAGUGAAUCUGGUGAGAUAAAGUAAUGCACUUGAUGGAUCCUCACAGAAAGAAGUUCAAGAUGAGUGAUCUAAGGUGUUCUAAAAUUGUCAUGGUUUCUUUGUCUUUGGAAAGAGAAAAGGUUAAAUCAUAACUUCACAUCAGGCUUCCCAACAUUCCCAUUUCCCUUCCCUUUCUAAGCAUCACAAGAAAGGGCAGUAAUUAUUUAGUUGCCUAAUUAGUAACAUGUAUUACAUGAGAUCUGAUUGUUUGUACAUGUGCAUUGGAAGAAUAAACAGUCUAAUGAAUUUGGAAUUGUGGCAAUUUUUUGUCCUCCAAUAUCACUAGGAUCCUCUACGAUAUUUACUUAGAAUUAAACAUACUUAGAUAACAAUAUAUUAAUGCACUAAAGGGAAACAGAUAUUUUUUGUACAUUUAUUGUUUUGCUCAGAAAUCGUAACAUGUUCAACAGUUUAAACAAGAAAAACGAGGUUUGCGUGUAACAUUUGAGUCACAAUUGGAAAUAACUAAAAUUAGACAUUGAAGAUCUCAUUUUAAUCAUUAGUCUUAACUCUUAAUCUACUUUGAAGUUAUAAAUAUAUGUACUCAUACCCCUAGGUUACCCUCCAUUUCAUGUGCCUCUCGAUUUUGCUGUGAGAUAUCUUUUCUACAAUUUCAGCUAAAUCAAAUGUUAGUCGUGAUGUGCAUUUGAAGUUAUAAGAACUUUGCUGGAUUAUUGUGAUGGCAUCUUUCAGGAGAUCAUUGUCAGUGGUGCCUCAACAUGGAAGUUCAGCAGAUGAGGAAGAAUAUGCAGUAGCAUCUUCAUUACCUAAAUCAUCAUCGCUGAACUCAGAUCACCUGCCAACAGGUGGUUUAUUUCUACGUUCUUUCAGUUCAUUAGACUAUGCACUGUACAAACUUCAAACACUCAUUCUUGGCUUAUUCCCUAAAAGAUCUUCUCGACCCUUAGAAAGGUUCAAAUCAAAGGGGAACAGUUGGAGAAGGGCUCUUCUCCAUUUCUUGGUAUGUUUCCUUAUUGGCAUACUUAUUGAGAUUACACCAUUUGCUUCACCAACUUUUUCCAUGAAUCUUUUGGCCAAACAUCAGCCUUUCUCCUUGGAGAUGCUUCAACAAGUCAAUACGAUUGGGUUUUAUCAACAUGAUGAUCCAAAAAAUUUUACAUCUGCAGUCGAAAGAGUCGAAAUAAAUGAUAACGAUAAACCCAAAUCAGCAGGCGCUACUGAUGAACGACAAGACGGAUUUCCUGUUGGUGAUCAUCUAACUGAUAAAACACUUUAUGAAGAUCUAAACACCACAUUCAAUAAGCUUUUGAUUAUUGUGACCCCAAUAUAUUCUAGGCCAUUACAAGCUUAUUAUUUAAAUCGUUUGGCCCAAACAUUGGGAUUGGUUCCGCCUCCUUUGUUGUGGAUAGUUGUGGAGAUGACAUCUCAAUCUGCUGAAACAGCCGAAAUUUUGAGGAAUUCUGGGGUCAUGCAUAGGCAUCUAAUAUGCAAAGAGACUUUAACUGGCGCAAAUGAUAGAGGCAUGCUCCUCAGAAAUGUAGGUCUUUCUCACAUUGAGACACACCAGCUUGAUGGUAUCAUUUAUUUUGCUGAUGAUGACAACAUGUACACCACUGAUCUCUUUGACCAAAUGAGACAUAUCAGGUCCUCUACUUUUUAUAAUUGUCCUUGUUCUUCAACAGCUUUUGCCAUUUAACUUGUGGUUCUUUUUUUUUUUCUUUAAUUUAUUCUUUUGUCCUAAAUUAAUUUUUUUUGUCCAUUUACCUCUUUCUUUCCCAGAAAACUUAACAAUAAUUUAAUAUGUGGCUCUGACUUGUCUCAAUCACUUGCGCGAAUGAUUUACAAGUCAACAUGGUUAUAAGUUUUAUUGCACAAGCUGCAUACAUAAUUUUCAAAUGAUUAUUUUUCUUUCAAUUUUUGUUUUCGGGCUCCUCAUUGAACAACUUUUUUUUUUCUUCUUUUGAUGACUGGUCAUCCAUCAUACUUUUUCUGAACUUAGUGGGUACCACUGAAACUAGCCAACUUGUUACAGACAUCAUACGGACCUUCUGCAUUAGAUUUGUUUUUGGAUGAUUACACUCUUUUCACUUGUAGCUUUUAUAUGGUUCUGUGUUCUAAUAGUUAGCUUACAAAAAUUUAAAAAGUAGGAACUAAAUGUUCAAGGGUUUACCAGUUUAGAAAUACCAGUCUUUUCUUUUCUUUUGUGUGUGUGUGUGUGUGUUGGGGGGGGGGGUGGGUUUCCUCUCAAUUGAUAGUUUUUCUUGAUUGUUAACUCUUGCAUAUGCAGGCGGUUUGGUACGUGGAUAGUAGCUAAACUAGUGGGAAAAAAUACGCAUGCGAUUAUGGAGGGUCCAAUUUGUAAUGGCUCUCAGGUUACGGGAUGGCAUUUGAAUGAAAGGUCAAAUAAGUUUCAAAAAUUCCACUUAGGAUUAUCAGGGUUUGCCUUCAAUAGUACUUUACUUUGGGAUCCAAAGAGAUGGCAUCGCCGCCCACUUCAGCCAAUCAGGCUGCAUGAUUCAGUCAAAGAUGCACCAUUCCCGGUGAGUUGUUUCUUUCCUUUUUCUUUGUAAUGUUAAUCAGCAUGAUUUUAUUCCUCCCCCCCGGGCGCCCCGGAGAUCGACUGGUUUCCACAGAGGCAGGUCACUGGAUCUACCCCGGGAGAGCUAACGUGCCGGGAACUUUGGGGUGGGGCUCUCAUAGUCACAUGAAAUUAGUCGGGUCCAAUGAUUCCGGACACCUCGUAUCGAAAAAAAUAUAUGUAAUAAUUAGUAAGGAUAAAAUUUAUAUACACCAAAAAAAUAUUCUUUAAGUGGGAUUGGAUGCAUCACAGCUAAUCACAAUUUCAAUUUAAAUAUUAUAUUUUGCAUACGUUACAUGUAUUCAACUCUAUUUGUAUAUUUAUUGUCAAUGACUCAAUGUAUAUUUAAUUAGUUUAUCCAAUUAGUGAAGAGAAGAAAAGAAUAGAGGAGAAAAAACACAUGAUUUAGAAGAGAAGGGGGGAAGUACCAAAUGCAAUUUAUUUAUUUGUUGUAUGUUUUAUCUAGUCAAGGAUGUUUAAGUAGUUUUGCAUAUAUUGCAGGUUAGCAGGUUCAUCGAACAAAUUGUGGAGGGCCAGAACGAAAUGGAAUGUUUACCACUGGCUUGCUCGAGGGCAAUGGUUUGGCGCCUUGAUGGGGAAUUUUUGUAUUCUUUUCCUCAUGAAAAUUCUACAAGAAGUAGCUUAAUUCUGCAUUGGCUGAACGGGGUAUUAGAUUUUGCCAUCAUAAAGAACUUGAUUCAUUAAGAUGUUUAUGCUUCCAGAUUCAGACAGCCAUUCUCGGAUUUGUUUCUCAUAUGAUUUUAUACUAAUUAGUUUCUUUACGUAUAACAAACCAAUGUCUAAUUAACUUGCAGAUCUGAUAUUGUAGUGAUAAUGUCCUUUCUUUUCUUUUCUUUUUCCCUUCUAUUUCUUUCUUAUCCAACGAAUAUCUCAUGUAUGCUUUUAAUAUAAUGUCGUAUGUGCAUACAGACGUAAAUGAAUCUCAUCAAGUCAAAUAUCUUAGUGCUCAAACUUGUUUAAUAAUUUUAACGAGCUUGAAGUUAAUUUUAAAUUUGACUUGUUUAUUUACCAAACUAAAUUCAAAUGAAUUUUAAUCGAAACGACCUCGAGAAGUUUGAAGUUUUUACCUAUAAAUUUUAAUUUUAUACAAAUCAAAUCAACUUGAAUAUCGAGUAACUUAUUUCGUCUUUGACUUCUAUAUAUGCAUGCAUGACUUUCAGUCUUAACGAACAUAUCAUCACAACCAACUGCAUUCAUACCAGGAUUGAUAUUACCGUUCAACAGCAUCAAUGUCAUCGGCUCUAAUCAACACCGUUUUCUUCAACUCUUCCAAUGAAGCUUUAUAUUGUUGAAGCUCCUCCAACCCCAUAUUAUCAAUUGGUUCAUCCCACCAAAAACUCCCAUUAUUCUCUACCUUCGACCCUUCAAUGGUUUCCUUUCUUUUUCUCUCAAUCUCCAAUUCUUCAGAAACUUUGGCAUAGUGUUGGUUGUGUUCUUGUAUCUCAGCAACCAAUGAGGUGUUCCGAUCAGCAACACAUGAUGAUGAUGCUGAUGCAGUGGUAUACUUGUUAAUAACAGCAUCAAUGUUGGGGUGGCCAAAUGCAAAUACACCCUUGCCCAAAGAAUGAACCAAUUGCAACUUCUGCGCCGGUUAAGAUGCAAAGUUCACUAGCUUUCUUCAAAAGACCGGCUCUCCUCUUGGAGAAGGUUACUUGCCUGUUGCUCAAGUCGUCUAUCAUCUUGAUUUCGAUCUUUUUCCGACCUCGGGUCGUCGUCUUCUUCAUCAUCAUGUUGUUCAUUCUGGGUUUUUGGUGGGAUUUUGAGGAAUUCAGGAAUAGCUACAUUUCUUUAGUAUCCUAUUAUACGAGUUUGAACCUUCCUUAAUAUCUGCCUGUAAUUUUCUUUCCCAAACACUUCAAAGAUUUUAUCCUGAUUCUGAAGAUAUAUUCUUUCCAGUUUUUCCGUUGUUUCACCCUCCAAUUUUAUCCUUGAUUGAUGGAUUAGUCUUAGAAAUAAUCCUACUAUAUAUUGUUCCACCACCUUCCUUAAUAUUUACCUGUAAUAUUGUUACUUGAAAAAUUUUAAGAUAUAUACUAUAUUAACCAGUUUUCCAUUGUUUCGCCCUCUAAAUUUCUCCUAGAUUGAUAUUCCAUCUGUUCCACUUUAAUAUUCUUGAUUUCUUGAUUUUUUUUCACCUAAUUUAAAAAAAAAUUAGUUAACUUCAUUGGAAGAAUACUAUUUUUCUAAAAUAUCCUUGUAUUAAUAUUAGUAGUACAACUAAAUAUUAUACCUUUAUAUUAAUUGCAACAAUAAUAUUGAUCAAAAAAUGUAUUAUUCAAGGUAUGAAUCAAAGCAAUUAAUGAAUAAGGUAAGUUAUAUUUACUGUAACCAAAUAUAUUAAAUAAGGACAUUUUAGAGAAGUUAAAAGUUUUCAAUUGAAAAGUCAACUAAAAUUUCAAACGAAUGAAAAUGGAAAACAAGACUAUCUGAGACGAGCGGAAUAUUUUAUUUUAUAUAGCCUACUUUUUUUUUGUCAAAAUAUAUAUAGCCUACUUAACUUGAACUAAAUUUGGAUAUACACCUAGUAGUGAAGGGAGCUAAUUAGGUGCUUAAAUUUCAUAAAUGCAAGUUCUUUGCACCGACUUACUGAAAUUAAAGGACCUUUAACUGAAAAUGCAGGAAAAAGGAUUAAGUGUCAGAGUUGGAAUUGUGGUUAAGCAGUACUUUCUUAAAGGUCAAGGGUGUAGAUUAAGAUAAUUUGUGAGAAUACAUAACUACAAUAAGCAACGGUAAUUGAAAAAAAAAAUGAAAUACACCUUGCUAAGGACUAUAAUCUAUUUCCUUCUAUAUCGCGUUAAGAGAAAAAAUAAGUACUUGCUACUUAAACUAAAUGUGACAUGAAUUAUACAUUAUAUAUUAUUCGUGAAGAAAAUGAUAGAAUCCACACAUAAUAUUGGUGAGUUUAAUUAAUUUCAAUACCUGCAUGCAAAUUAUACCCACCAAGAGAUAAACUAAGAACAGUGCUCAGAUAAAUAAUGAUUUUCACUUUUGUUGCUAAUGAAUUAGUACAAAAUUCUCCAUCUUCCCCAAGAUAGAGAGGGUAGUAAUCCCCAAGCACAAAAUUUCUAGGUUACCGUCGGUGCAAGGUGAAAUUAAUGUUGUGGCAACGACUUUGAUCUGCUACGGAAGUUCAGUAUCUCAUGCAUACCAUUUCUUCUUCAAUCAUGCCCAAUUUUAUAACUGUUGCUAAAAUCGGUAUGUUUUACCACAAAAUCUGCAGUGGAAGAGCUUCUUUAUGAUGCUUCUGAUGUUCCCUUCUCUUCCCUUGAAUUGCACAGAAGGAGUUUCAAUUCCUAGGUUCUCUAGUUUGUGUUUUUGUGCUCAGAUAACUAAGGAUCACCACUUUCUUGUACGCCCUUUCUCUAGUCUAGUUCUAAUAAUGAAGCAAUCCUCAGACUUAAGUGGGAUUCAAUUAGGUAUUAUUCAGUGCUAGCUACUUGCAUUAUUGAUCAAGUGGGCUGCAAUCAAGAACCAAAUGUGACAGGCUACACAUGGAUCUCUCAGCUCACCAUCAUAAUUUAGCACUUUUGGUUGGUUAGCAAGCAACAGAAGUUGCCAAAUGCAAUUAGUAAUAUGAUAAAAGUUCUGGACUUGCGGAUAGCUGGAGUGCAGGGCAAUUGGGGACCAAUUAUAUAGCUUGGGGGGUUUAGCCAAAGCUUUUUUUUUUUUUGUUUCCCUGCAGCAGAUAUAGGGGUAACUUGUAGUUACAUAGCUGGCUUUUGUUCUAAAGCAUUGCAUAACCAUAAAUUUGCUUCUUAUCCAGAUUAAGUCAUUAAUGAAUUUAUUAGUCUACAUUAAGAAGAGAAUUUUGGUUUGCACUUCAUUUCACGAAAGUUUGCAUUUUCAAUCUUCCUACAAGAAUAAUCCUGCAGGUACUUAAGGUAUGCUAGAUUGAUUACAGAUCGAUCCUAUCCUUGUUUUGCUGAUGACCAUUUCCUAGUCAAUUUUUUUAAAUAGUUAUUAAUCUUUUUCGUAAAAGAUUUCAGUCGAGCACUGUUUAGUUCCACGAUAAACGAAUUUUAAGAACAGUAACCAUUACAUUGGUCUCAAGAAAUGGCGUAGCUAUCGCAUGUCUUCAUCCUCCAAGGUCAAAUGGUAGUAACAUGAAAAAGAAUAAAAUUAGGCCAUGUAAAAGCUUCAACAAUUGAAGCUAAGAUCUUUACAGCUGAUUGAUAAGACAAUGGUUCUACGUAGCUGGUUAGGUUUUUUGGUAAGUUAGACAAUCACCAUAUCCAAAUGGAAGCAUAAGGUAAACAGCAUAGAUUUAUCAGAAACAAAAACCAACUUUUAUCCUCAUUGCAGGGGCCACAACUACCAAAUUCAACACAUCUAUACAGAAAAUGAAGAGAUAGCUAGAUUUAAGUUCACAAGUUCAAUCCACUCUCGUCCGCUCUCUAAAUUCUCUUUUUUCUCUCUAACUUCCACCACUUUUCUCAAACGAAACAAUAUCUUACUUCAUGGGAGGAGGGAGGCCUUUUGAUCUCCCUCCCUCCUCUCAAUGACUUCCUUUUAUGUUUGUAGAUAAUAAAGUCUUCUCUAGAAUUUCUAAUGAGAGUAUAAUAUUGUUCUCCCUAGGUUUGCACUGAGAGUAUUCUCUUAGUUUCAUACUUUUCAUUUUUUUUUCUUUGUCUAAUCUCAAUUUUUUCAGAUCUAUUUGUUAGAUCUGAAAUUGCUGAAUCUAUUUUGUCAAAUCUCAAAUUCAUAUAAGGGUUUGAAGUAGUUAAACAGUAGAUUUCAUGAGAAAAAAUAAGUACAGAUGUUCGUUAGAUUAAAGAGAUUGAUAUCACUUGAAUUACGUUAAAAAUUUUAUUUGUAAUUUCUUAGAUUUGAUGUAUUUGUAGAUCAUUCAGAUUUAUCACUUUUGUGACGUGUUUGAUGAUAUAUUUUCUGCCAUUAAUGCAUAAAUCAUGAGUGAAAUUAUGAUUUUUGUUAGAAAAAAAAAAAAAAAACAAAGGGCAAAUGAAGACAUAGAUGAACUUCUAAUGUUGGCUGAUAUAGGUUUCCCUUUCCCAUCAGGGUUUGAAUUUUCAUUACUCCCCAGCUUGAACUAAACCUUCAUCAACAGGCUAUUGGCCUGGAUUGUCAGGUCCCUCGCCACCUGUCAUUGAGUGCUUUAAUUAGCCAAAAGAACUACUUGGUCCUCAAAGCAGGCAGAAACACAACAAAACUGUUAACCACUCAAUAUAGGCCAAUGAAUAUCAGACAGAAAAACCAUAUUUCGUGCAGCCCAUUUUAUACUCAAAUGCAUGCAGAUCUUGUCCCAAAAUUUCACUCCAUCGCAACAAGGAAAUACAAAUUAGGGUCUAAAGUGAUAGGUAACAUACAAGUUAGAUGUUCUUUCGUUAGCCUUUGGCAUUAAUUCGAUUGAACCAAGUUAGAGAUUGAAGAAUUAAUACAAACAUAUAGCUUUAACCGAGCUAGAAAUAAUUAACCCUUUUCCACAGCAUCAAAUAUGAACGGAUCUAAAGUGGAACUAACCCUUCUGAUUAGCUAUUAAACGGGAAUUGUAGCCUUCUCAACAUCGUUUUCAUUUUGAUUUCUCACUUGUGCUUCGUAGACAUCUCAUAAAGCUUGUUGUUUAUCAUUAGUAGAAUACAAGAAGACGAUUGCACAUUGAUUUAGAAUCCGUUUGGACGGAUGUUCUUUAGGGUAUUUUUAUACAAUUUUGAAAUUAUAAGUAAAUAAUUCUUUGUAAGAACAUUUUCUAUGACAUUUCUAGGAGUGUCUUUUAGAUUUUUCUUUUUUUUUUUUUGGGUUAGAAAACAGGACGAAAAGAGACUACAUACAAGUUGAAAUUUUGUACCUCCAAAUUUGUAUCACUUUUGCAUUUUGCCAUCCUAAACUUUAAUUUUAGACACUUUACAUUCUAAACUCUUAAUGUUAGAUACUUUGCAUCCUAAACUCUCAAAUUUGUCCUAUUUAAAUCCAAUCAAUGAUAACUUUAGUAAAAUGAACGGCAUAGAGGAUCCAAUAAAUCAAUAACAAUGUGCCAAAAGUAGUCAAAAGGUGCUAAGUUAUUAUAACAAAAAUAAAACAAUACAUUAUCAUUAAUCUAUACCAUCUUUUAUCUCACUAAUUUUGGUAACAAUAUUAGUAAUUGAGACAUUAUAGAUCAACGAUAAUGUACAAAAAGUGGUCAAAAAAAUUAAAGGAUUACGGUUCAAAUAAAACGGUACAUUACCACUAAUUUUCACCACCCUUUAAUUCAUCAAGUUUGCGAACGUAGUCAUUGAUUGGAUUUAAAUUGGACAAACUUGAUAGUUUAAGGUGUAGGGUAUCCAAAAUUAAGAGUUUAGAGCGCAAAGUGUCUAAAAUUAAAAUUUAGGGUGCAAAUUUAAGGAUAUAAAAUAAAAUUAGUCCACUUUUGCCCGUCAGUCUAGUUUUUUGUAAUUCUUACAAUGUAAGAUGUAUAACAAUAUAACUUUGAUAUAAAUCUAAAUUUUAUUAACUCAUACAAUUAUUUCUUGAUUAACAAAUUUAUAUUAAAAAUUUUUAAAUUUAUAGUAACUAUAGAUUGAAGUGAAUAAAAAUAAGGAGGGGAAAUGAAUUGGUUUUUUUUUUUUUUUUGUCAGCAACGAUACAUUUGUAUAAUCUACUCUAUCCUAAUCUAGGAGGAAGGGAGCCGAAGGAGGCUGUUGUAGGGGCUAGUGGAUACACAGACCCAACUAAAUCAAGAAAAUGUUAUGACACAAUCCUUAAAUUUUUUUUGCUGCCGGUGAGAUUUGAAUCCUAGCCAACAAGGGGAAAUGAAUUGACAGAGAGAAUGCAACUGAGAGGUGUCAGUUCGUGACUUCUCCUCCCACUUAUGCUUUAAAAAAAUUUUACUUCAAAGUUCAAAGAAACAAUUCGAGUGAAUAAAAGUAAAUAGAGGCGCCCUGUCCCACAUGUUGUACUUUAUGCACUGUCCCAAGUUUGGCAGCUUCUGCAUGUAACGCUUAAACAAACAUGAGUGUACUCAAUUUGGACAAGUGAGCUUUCCAGUUUCCUAUGUUAAGUUUGUAUCCCUUCGUUUUGGCCACCUGGUCACUUCUUCAGCCACCUGUUCAUUCCUCCUCCUCCUCCUCCUCCUCCUUAAUCCUCAACCCUUGGUCUUCCCUCCCCCAAAAUCUAAAACCCACCUCCAAUCUCCUGAAACAAUUGAAACCCACUUCACUAAUUCAAUGGCAAAUGCAUUUUCCAUGUCAAACAUGUUCCAAACGCUGCCCUUUCCUUGUUUGAAUCCAAAACCCAAUUCAACAAAUUCAGUAAGCGUUAGUCCACUGAAGAGUCAUCAGCAGUUCUUCCCCAAGUUCUUUAUUGCAAAUUCCAAGAAGGCGGGGGCGGCAGCGUCAACUAUGGAUGCGGAGUCCGGCUUUGCUGAAGAGGAGCAGCGGUCAAAAGCAGCAAAGUUUAAAGAGUCAGCUGCUGCUAUGAAUCCUGUUUACAAGCCUACGCCUUCCAAUCGCCCUCUUCGAACCCCUCACAGCGGGUAAUUUAUUAUAAUGCUUUUAUAUGUUUCGCCAAUUUAUUUGAAGUACUGGUGGCUGGUCCGGAAUUGAUGCAAAUUCAAAGUUGAUGGGAAAAAUGUGCUAAAUUUAUAGUCUUGAGGACUAAAUUGAGACGACUGUAGAAAUUGAAGUAUUGAACGAACGAAAACUGCAAAUUUUCUCCAUUUUGAGCUGCCUUUCCGUAUAAUUGCGUUGUUUGUAUCAAAUGAGAAGUCCUUUCAUUUGUCAAAUGAUCCAGCCGUUUAAUUUGGAUCCUUUAUCUAUCAAUUUUCUUUCUUUGUUUUUUUUUGGUCUUUUUUUGGGGCCCCCGGGGGGGGGGUUUGGAGGAGGGUGUUGGGGGGCGGUUGUUCAAUAACAGUACUACGUAGUGCAGGAUAAAUGAGUAAUCCAAUCAACUGAUGGCGUGGAUGAAUAGUGUAUAGUUGAAUAAUGUAGAAAAAAUGAAACCUGUAUGUAAAAAUAGUGCACACUUGUCUUUAGCGUGUAGAAGUCCCAUUUUGAAUGUACACUAGCGUAGAGUACAUGCAUGUGCUAAGAUGUAUCUCUGAACCUGUUGCGUACACUAAUUGAUCAAGGUCGGGGUACAAUUGUAUGAUAAGGUGCUAUUGCGAGUUAAAAAGUUGCUGUUGUGUGCUUGUCAGCCUUAACUGAUGCACUUGCCAUAUUUGGUAGUUUUUUAAAGGUUUUUGGAUGAUUGUAAACAACUCGUACACAUGAAAUCUAAGGCAUUUUAAAGACCAUUCUUUGGUGGUAUAUUAUUCGUUCUUUGCAUGAUGAUUAUGUGCGACUGUCUGUGCAGUGGUAUAGCCUAGUUCAAGUGUUACAAAAUUUGGAUAAUUAUCCAACUUUGUCUAAACGGUGACAUGUUUGUAGUUCUCUCUGUAUGUCUGGUUUCCCUGAUCUAUUGACCUUACCACUUUGACAAACCAGCUGGAGCUAGCUUUUCACAUAUGCUUUUCCACUAGCUUAUAGCUGUAUUAGGUGCUCCAGGAAACAUGUUUUACAUUUGCAUCACCGUUAUCAAAUUGAUACUGGUACUGAAUGGAUGGAUAAUCAUUUGCAUGCAUGGUUAUACUUUUCUUCUUGCAAUUCAUAACAGUCUGGUCAAUCCACGAUUUGUAAUUUCUUUAUCCAGGUACCAUUUUGAUGGAAGUACUCGGAAAUUCUUUGAGGGUUGGUAUUUCAAGGUCUCAAUACCUGAAUGUAGGCAGAGCUUCUGUUUUAUGUAUUCUGUUGAGAAUCCUGCUUUCUCCAAGAAGUUGAGCACACUUGAGGUACUACAAUAUGGGCCUAGAUUUACAGGAGUUGGGGCUCAAAUUCUUGGCGCUGAUGACAAAUAUAUUUGCCAGUACGCUGAAGAUUCUCCUAACUUUUGGGGAAGUAUGUUUCUUUUCCACAUGAAUAUACAACUUUUGCUGUAGACUGUCUGCAAGAAGUUAUUAUGAUUACUUGAUACUUGAUUGUACUCUCUUUCUCCUUUAUUCAGUAUGGCUGCUUUAAGCCUUUAACUUCCCCUGCCCCAGCCUAGAGACCAAAUAAAACUUGCAUUGUCCUUGAUGGGUUGACACAUUUGUUCUGUUCUUUGUCUCAUAUAAUUUGAUCAGAACUGUUGCAUGCUACCCUUCCAUUUCUUUCUUGAUCACGUUUGAGUAGCUGUCUUGCUUCCUAAGGUAAGUGCUAUAAGUCUUCUGUGGCCUUGUAAGUUGUAAAGGCAAUUUCCGUACUAUUUCCAAUUUUGUUGUAUGAGAAUAUUCUUCUUUGUUUUUCCUCUGCAUGGAUGGAAUAGGAAACUGACCAUGGCCUUUUUAGUAAGCUGUGACCACAAUUCUUUUCUUGAAAUGGCUUCCUAUUUUGUUGAUAUCACAUAGGGAAUAUGGUGUUGUAGACAUAUAUUUGGAGCAUAAUUUUUCCAGUACACCAUGACAUGGUUAGUAAAUAAACAAUAUGCUUUUUUGUGAAUCUAAUUCAUAUUGUCUUAACAAAUAGGCAGGCAUGAAUUGAUGCUUGGAAACACUUUUUCAGCAAAGAAAAAUAUGCGGCCUCCAAGUAAGGAGGUGCCUCCUCAGGUGAGCAGUUUUUGUAUGUUGCUGCCUUGGCGUAAGAUAAGGAGAAAGGGUAUUUUUUCUGAAUAGAAGGUGUACAAUUAUAAAUACUAGACACCAUCACCGUGUUUGAGCAGACUCUCAUAUUCCAAAAAAAUCCUUCAAGACGAUGACACCUUGUGUAUCAGUGUUGGUGAUUAAAUAGAACGUGUCAUUGUUUACUUUUCUGUUACUAAGAGUACAAGAUGGAACUCAUUUCUGCAUUACCAGUACCAUGAUUAUAGCGUGUACUAUAUCUAUUUGCUAGUAGAUGUGGUACAUCCCUGAGCACCAACUUCACAUCUUUUAGUUUCUUAAUUUUCAAUUCAAAAUAUUCAUAAAUUAUGGGAGACUGUAAAAGCUAAUGGAUAAAUAUUUUGAUGUUUGCACAUCAUGGAAAGUGAAGGGGUUCAAUUAUAAAAUUCUUUGCUUUAAUAGAAACCCACUCAGUAUCAAAAGUAAGCAUGUCAAUAAACCAGUUGUUAGUCACAUUCAACAUAUAAAAUCUGCCCUCCAUGGCCUUAUAAUGGAGUCAUGCAGGAUUUCCUGUAGUGCAUUGUGGAGCCUUAAGUGAUGUAUGUGCUACUGUUGUAGGUUUGUAUCUAUUUCUUUGUGUAAUGGCAAGUACUCAGAUAUCAUUGUUAAGUAUAGCUUUAUUGUCUCGGAAAUUUUUUGGUGUCAGUGCAUGAACUUAUUAUAGAUUUUGCUGUUUCAUAACUCCCAAGAGGUUCUCCCUUUUACCGAGUUGGUAUCCUUUUAACAGGAUACGUAUUUGUAUCCUGGCAAGAAUAUUAUGCUUACGAGAUAUUAUUGUUAUUCAGCGACUUUUUUUUUUUCCCCUUAAAAGUGUCACAAAAUGGAGAUCUGAUUUCAAGAUAUGAUACUAGGCUUAUCUGGUUGUUUGGUUCUACAGGAGUUCGAUCAAAGAGUUCUGGAAGGUUUUC